CUCUGAACAAAAUGCAUGUUUACAAUAAAAAAACUCUUCCAUCUGAGGCCUAUUUACAAUAACAAAACUCUUCCAUCUGAGGCCUAUUUACAAUAACAAAACUCUUCCCACUGAAGGCCACAAACCUAAAAUGUCGCUAGACACGAUAAUCAUCUUUUGGUAGGUAUCCAAGUUGCUUAAGAUACCACAGAGCUCCCUCUGCUGCAUGCUCAUGCGCUGCUUUCUUUUGUAGCUUAGGAUCGCUAUAGCACUCCAAAAGGGUCGCUGAAGUUCCCGUGAUCUGAAUAAGGACCUUACAAGUGAACCUGCAUGUAAAAAGACAUAAAUCAUACGUCACUCGACACCGACAUUGUUUCCCAUACUUAGAAUAGUUGGCCAAGCAAUAUAGUCCAAAACGUACAAUGAUAGAUAUAUUUCAGCUUUGCUAAUAUAGAAAACUGCAUGAACAGAGUUAUUUUAGCCAAUGUUCCAAAACUGAAACGCUAAUUACCACUCCUUGAAGCUAGAACACAAACAUCAUUCCAGCUUCAAGGACAGAAUUCUGAUUGUAAAAGAUACAAGUCUAUAAGUUUUCUCGCUCAGAUAUUUAGUAAGUAGAUGAGCUUACUUUCGAAGGUGGCUUGGUCCUUCACCUUUGCAUAACUCAAAAUCAGGAGGUUUCCAAUAGUUUGCAGCACAUAGUUCAUAAAGGAAUGACCUUGCUGUUUUGCGUACCAUGUCACCUGUCAAGGUAGGAGUACUAAACAAUAUUAUAAAGAUAUUACCUCCAAAAUUGAUCAAAAUCACAAUAUGGUCACAUUUCACGUGCAAAACAUAACCGCCAAACAUGUUUUAUUGUAUAGUUUAGUCAUAAAUUUUGUAACUUUUCAUUCAAAAAUGUUUUUAAAAUAAAGUGCACACUUUAUGGAUACUAGUUAUGUUCUAGGCAAUAUAUGGCCUGUUUAGUUCCUCAUUUGAGCCAAAAAAUUUUGGGUUUUGGCUCACCAUUUUGCUGAAUAGAACUAAGCACCAUCCAAAAUUUUUAGCAAAAUGGUUGUCAUUUUGGAUUUUGGCCUCAAGAGGGCAAAAAAAAACCCAAAGAGCCUUCACUACCCCCACCUAACCCUAAAAACUUUGGCAUUUUGGAUGAAACUAAACAUAACCCUGAAAAUUUUGGCAUUUUAUAUUUCAUCAUUCCAAAGUAGUUGCCAUUUUGCAUUUUGUACUCUAUGGGGAACUAAACAGGGCCUAAGUAUACACUAUGGUGUUGAGCUUGUUCAUUUGAGCUUAUCUGCGAAUCUGCCAGCCAUUCGGCAGUGUUUUUCAAUCAGCGCACAGUAUUUUCAGUGAUGGCUUAUCAGCCAAGCACCCAGGUUGUAUGCAAUUGCCCCUUUUCCAUGCAGAACCUUUUUGUAGCAUAUUUCCUAUCCUAAGUGUGUAUCACAGGUCUAUGCGUAGUUUGACAAGCACCACAGGCAUCUAGAUGCCAUAAGAAUAUUAAAAAGACCAAUAAAGGAUCCACUACCAACGGCUACUGUAGAUUUAUAAAUGUAAUUAAGGGCUUCACAUGUUCAUCUGGCUGGUUGGAAUCUGUAGUUGACACCUUGCAUGCUUCAUUUCCAAGCUUUAGAUGACAAGCAUAUUUUACAGAGAGAAAAAAUGGAGUUUAGAACCAUACCAUGAUACUCUCUUUGGUUUGUUUUAUCAGUUGCCCCUCUAGGUAGACAACCAUUCUGCACGACCACAUUGGACUUAUUGUUCCUUCCAUUAUUAGCAUCAUUCUUGUCAACCUUGUUAUCUCCUGUUGUACUCUGAAUGGAGGUUUCAGACCUCCCGUUCAAAGACACUUCUUUAUUUUGAAAAAAGAUGUUUCCUUCCAUUUCUCCAUUUAUCAAUAGAUUCUUCAUUUGUAUGUCAUCCUCAACAUUGAUUGGUUCUUCAUCAUAGCCUAUCAGCUCUGAUUCUUUUUUCGUGGUAGCACGCAAAAUUUCCUCCAGUGACUUUCUUUUAUGCUUGUAUCCAUUAUUCUAUGUAAACAUGCAAGGUUGCAUUAUUGCCACAAAUAAGAUGAUUUUGCCAUGCCUUCUAAGUAAUUAAUAAAAAAAAUCAAGAGUAUGAAAACUAUGGUGCUAGAGAAACAUGCAAUUUCCAUUUCAUAACAUAUUGCCAAAACAAAUAUACCUUCAGUUUCAAAAGUGCUUCUUGUGCAGCCACCUUUCUAGCAUCUUUCGAAUUCCGGUUUGCUGCAGUACAGCUUAUCAUCUUGCCAUCUAUGUUAACUUCUACUUUGACAUGGAACUCUCCAUUGUCCUCCGUAGGUUUGGGAAGUCCUAACUCAAAACCAUUAUAUUGACAAAUUUCUCUGAGUUCUCUCAUAGGAUCGAUGUGCAUGCCACAGAAGCUCAAUAUUGGCUUUAGAAGCAUUAGCAUUAGCUUCCAAACAUGGUUCAGGUUGAAGCCGGAAUCUAAAAGCACCGCACCAACACAAGAUUCAACAAUAUCACCAAGAACCUGCAUGGUUACAGCAAAAGCAUGCAAGCUUUGAUUAAAAACAAAAUACCAAGGUGUCUCCAAUAAACUACAUGAUUCAUUCAGAAAAUCUAUUUUCAAAAAGGAGUUCCUAAUGUAUUACAUAGGCUGAACAGAAGUUUUUGAAUUAAUCCUAUACUUGAAUGAUCUAGGAUUCCAAAUACAUGUUUAUCUUGCAAUAGCUAUACCUCAAAUUCCACUCUCUAAUCUUGUAUUCCCUCAGUCCCAAAUGCGGGCUAUUUUAGGAUUCUAGCUGGUCAAACUUUGACUUGACCCAUCAACAUAUUUACAUAGGUUGGCAAUAUAUGGUUGAUGCUGCUAGAUUCAUCAUGAAAAAUACUUUUAUAACUUUAUAAAAAAAUAGGAAGUCAAAGUGUCAUUGGUGCCCGGUUGGCGCGGAAGAUCCCCUCAAUGGCCACCCACAGAUCGCGGGCGGUUGGAUCUGCGUCAUUCAUGGCGAGGUCGAGGACGGAGUCAUCAACGGAGCCUGAGAUCCAGCCCUGGACGCAGCACUCCGUGGCAUCCCACUGAGGAUCAUCAGGUCGAGGGGGAGCAGAGCCGUCGAUGUACGAGCGAAGGCCGAACUUGCCGCACAGCGACUUGAAGAAGAACGCCCACUUGGAGUAGUUGGAGUGAAGGUCCAACGUAAUCGGGAUGUGGGACUUGACAUUUACUGUGGCGUAGUGGUGAGCCACGAUUGGUGCAGCAGCGCCGGCGGCCAUGGCACCCAACGGGGCAGCACCGAUGGAGGGCAUGCUGGAAGUUGCCGGCAGGGUGCCGGCACCGGUGGCCGGGGAGGAGGCAGAGGUGAGGGAGCCCGAUGUGUCCAUUGGAGAGGAGAGGAGGAGCAGCCGGUGAGGGUGGACGGGCGCGAGGGAGACGCGCGCGUGGUGGCUGCAGCGCGGUCAGGAAGAGGCCGCGUGUGGAAGGGAAGUGCAGAAAACUAGGAUCUGAUAGGCUGAUACCAUGUAAAGACACACCUCACACCCAAUAUGGGGGGUGGGGGGUGGGUGACCUUCAUAUAUAUAGCCAAUAUGGCUGGGUAUACAAGGAAUACAAUCAAGUGUACAUAGCAGGUGCUAAUUAUAGCUAAUCACGCAUAGACCUGCCUAAUAUGUCUAAUAGUUGGAGACUGUCAUUGUCCUCAACAACUUACAUUUAGAACCAGAGGGAAUAUAGAAAAUUCAAGAAGCUCCUUUAGCAGUAAUUACUAAUUGUGACUUUUUGUUUCAACUCAAAGAAAAUAAAAGAAGUGUUAGCAAAGAAAUGUAGGAAAAAUACACUGAGAAAGAGGUGAUUCACAAAUUCUAUAGAAAGAUAACUGAAGUUUUUGCAGCAAGUAAAAAGAAUCAAGGAAAGCACAUACCUUUGGACAAGUUGGUUCUUCUAACAAGUCUUUCUCUGAACUGGAAAGAUUAACAUAAUUCUGAAAUUUAUUUAUCGCUGCCGUAAGAGAUUUAGAAUCCUUUAUGAGAUAUUUAUGGAUAGAUUUCUUAACGGCCACAUAAGCAAAUGAAUUAUUAUUCAAAGCUAAUGAUUUCAGAUCUGUUAGUUGACCAGGCUUGAGAUCAGGGUAAGCUGAGUAGAGGUACGAGGCCAUCAAAUAAUCCAAAACAGCGUCUCCAAGAAACUCCAUCCUCUGAUUAAAAAUGUACAGAAUAUGCUGAAGUGAGUGUUCUUUACUAUCAGAAUAGUUCACUAGCAAUUAGAUAAAAAGGGAAAAAGGAAGGUCGGACCUGGUAGCAUCCUCCAGAAUGCUUAUUGAAUGAAGGGUGUACAAAUGCUUGGAGAAGAAGACCCUUGUGCUUGAAGGUGUAGCCAAUCAAUUCUUCAAGCUCAGAAAUGUUCAUGUAAUUCAUGAGAGACAAAUUGGUGGAGCUUGCAUCUAAUACUCUAUAGAGAGCUGAAUUUUCGAAAUCAACUUUUAUCCCAAUCCAACGUAGGAAUGCAAAUGCAGCUUUGAAUCCACACUCGACAAGAAAAGCUCCAAGAAGUGACUCAACAACAUCUGCAAUUGUCUUCCUAUGCAACCAAUGAUGUGAUUUUGUACACCUCAAGUUACAGUUUUCACGUCUAUCUGGGUCGAUAUUCUUCGGGUGUAAAGUUGCUUCUCUGUCAGGAUUGCAAACAACUUUACAAGGUCUUCCCAAUGCAAAGAACUGAGUAGGUUCAAAGUGUUGAUCCCGUAUGUAUACCUAUAUUUUGCAUCAAGAUGUUUUAAUUUUGUGUAACACAGCGAGCAACAAAUUAUUCUCACCUGAGGUGAUAAAGGGAAAACAUGUGCACAAAGUACAGGAGUCAUGAUUCUCUACUUAAACUUCUUGAAGGCCAAUAACCAUAAUGUAAACAAGAAACAUGAUAAAAUAGAUCAGAAACAGAAACAAAUGUGUUCAACAGAAAUGGAUGGUAAUUAAGAAAGAAUCAAAUUCACAUCAAAGCUAAGUUGCACAGGGGUGGACAAGGGGGGUUUUCGAUGCAGGGGUGGAGCCACAUUGUGGCUUCUGGGUGCGAUCAUGCCAUCAAAAGAAGUCAGAAUCAAGUUACAAUGCCUAAUUUUGCACCCUAGCAGCCCAAGCCUAUGUACCAACAGCCGAGGAGCCUAGGCUAUUGCUUGAAUAUAGUGCCAUAUGAAUGUAAUUGUGCCUUUGGAACGCAUUUGGAAAUCAUGGGCACCACUGCUUUGUAAGUUUUUCAUGUGAUCGGCAAUUGUUAACCGAUGCUGGACCACUGAUAGGCUAGAUAAAUAACCACUGCCUUCUGUGUAAUCAAGCUCCUGAAACGAUGCAGCCCCUCCUGAUUCUUGUGUGAUCUACGGGCUUGCGUAUGGUGGGCACUGCAGGCUGACACAAUAGGGCUUUUCCCUUGUGGAGCCAAGCUAUUAAACAGGCCAACAAGCAACUUAAAAAGGUAUCUAAUUCCUUGGUUAUUCUGGUUGCUUGGGAGUUACGGAAAUACUGCAACAAAGGAGCCUACUAUGGUGCUUCUCUAGAUGUGAACAGGGUUGGUGUUUUUUGUGGUUCUUAAAAAGGAGCUCCAGCAUGGCUAUUAGUAGGACACACAAAGCGCUUUAAGGCCUUUUUUUUGUCUGUUUUCUUUCUCAACCACUGCGGCAUAUGCCCUAACUUGUUUUGCAUGGGAUAUUUGAUAUUGUACUCCUGCAUGUUAAAAAAAUGCAACACUAAGUCUCAAGUCACAAUGUGGGUCUGUCUAUAAAUAGCCAGGAAAAAAAAAUCAUGAUUUAAACUUUUUUGCCAUCUUGUGCUUGAGGUUCAACCACUCAAACCAUGUAACCAUGUCAGCACAAGGACAAGCACAUUGGAUCUCUUCUACAAUAAGAUAGGAUGAAAUAACUGCUAUAACUAUAUAAAACUUAGCAUAAAAUAAAUAUUGGGAUCAUUGAUACAAUCAACUCACCUGCAAAUUUCUUCUAAUUGACAACUCGUAUAAAUUUGAAUUACUCACUAUAUCAGAACGUCUCCUGGUCAACUGACCUUCAUCAAGUCCUUCAUAUGAAAUAAAGUUAUGGCGCCCAACUACAUACUUCAAGAAAGCAUCACCUAGGACUUCUAAUCUCUCCAAAGAGAUCCUCUCUAAACACCUUUCAGUAGUCAGUGCUUCAAGGAUCUGUAAUGAAUGUCGUAAAUCACAAUUACUUCAGCAUAGAUAACAAAAUGAAAUUAGAAGUUUCCGGCUCAACAGUGCGAAAGUUAGUAUUACUUACACCCGAGGCACUAAUUUGAGAAGCCUCUGGGAAAUAGGAUGACAUGACAUUCUUCAACUCAAUAGCCACCAACAAAUUCUCCAAGCGACACAUUAAAGAUGGUAGCAAGGACAAAGAACUACCCAUAUCUUUUGAGAACCCAGUUAUCUUCAAAGAGCAUAGUUCUGGAGGUAACUCCACAAAGUGCUCCAUCAAUUCACGACCCUCAGAUUCUUAUAAGAAGCAGUGAAGAAAAAACAUAAUAUCAAAAGUACUGUACAAGGAUCAGAACCAUCAAAGAAUCACAGCAAUCAUCUCAGUGCUUAAAAUCCAUAAAAGCAGGAAGUAGCAAAAUACCAGAUCAAAUACAUUAACAUGCAGUUCAUGAAUCUGAUUAAAAUUUACAGUUGAAUUGAGUUGAAAGUAAAAUAAAAUAAAACAAGUGGUUGAACGAACUUCUCUCCAAUAUAUGUAUAACUAGACAAGUUAUAGUUUGCUUGGUACUGCAUAAGCCACAGCCAUCCAUGGGUGUCAAUCAAAUGGAUGAGAUCUUUUGAUACUAGGACUUGCUCAGUUACCUGUUAGUGGCAAUACCAAAUUUGGUUGGUCCCGACACCAAUAAUCAUAAGGUAAUUAUGAUAUUGCUCAUUUAGAUCUGAGAGGAAAACCCUAUUAGGCUCAUACCCACAGAAGUGGUCAUCUAACGUCUGUUAAUAUACUUCUGUCUGGCAACUGUACGUUUUAGCACUUAUGUAUCUCCUCAGCCACACACAGCUUUGAGUCGCUAAUGUUGCCGUCUGGACUCUGCACACUAAUGAAAGUAUCGUUCAUAUCUAACUAAGAGAGUACUGGGUACAGGUAACAGUUUUAACUGUCACUGCUGUAGAUGCCAUUGUUUGCCCCUUUUGCAGUCUUCCCUUUUUCUUUUUUUUUGGGGCAUGGGGGUGGGGGUGGGGGGGGGGGGGGCAAUAAUUGAUGGCAGUUGGUCAUGUAUCUAGUAUAGCAGGGCCUAAGUAUUGCCCACUGCAGUUUUGUUUUCCUUCUCUGUUUUAAAUUAUGUGGCUGUAAUAGGCUUGCUUGGGGGUCAAGAAGAUAAGACCCUUGGCAGCCAAGUUAACUAGGAAUCUACUCUAGAAUAUGCCUAUCCAAGAGGCAGCCCUCAGCCUAUAAGAGCUGGAGACAGGGCAAGGGGUUUUGUAACCGAGAUCCAUUUUUUGCAAUUCAAUCAAAAGGCCAUAGCAGGCAAACUGCCCUCUGGCUGUUGCCAGAUCAAUCUCGUGUUCACCAAAUUAUCCAACAAUUGGUAUCAGAGCGUGUUCUUGAUCCUGUGAGAUGGCCACCUCCGCAGAGAGAGCAGCCGCCGCUGCAGCAGCAGCCGCCGGGCAGCGCGCGCAGCGUCUGGCAGCGGCAGAGGCCGCAGCCGCGCAAGCGCAGCAAGCCGCGGAGGCCGCAGCAGCCGCAGCCAGGGAGGCCGCUACCACGGCCGCCGCUCUGCGUCGAGAGCUCUGGGAUGAGCAGCCGUUUGAGGAGGAGGAGCCGCACCAGGAUCUGCGCGAGGAGCCGCGCGAUCGCCGCCGUCCACUUCGGAGGAGCCCGGACCGGAUGCGCAGGCAGUCGCGGUCGCCGGAUCAGGAUCGCCGUCGCGGACGUGGCGGCAGGGGCCGCUCGCCGGUGAUCCAGGCGGUGUACAGGGACUCCGGCGGCUCCACCACCUGGCCGAUGCUGUCCAAGACCAACUACCACGAGUGGGCGUCGAUCAUGAAGCUGAAGCUUCAAGCCCGCCAGCUUUGGGACGUGAUCAAGUACGGCGAUCUUCCCCACCAUGAGGACCGCCGCACCGUCGAAGCGCUCAUCGCCGCCGUUCCUCAGGAGAUGCAGAUGCCGCUGUCGGAGAAGGCGACGGCGAAGGAGGCGUGGGACUCCCUCGCCACUGCACGCAUCGGAGGAGAACGAGCUCGGCGCACCGCUCUACAACGUCUUCGCCGCGAGUGGGAGUUGCUGUCUUUCCGCCCAGGUGAGCAGGCUGAGGAUUUUACUCUGCGCCUGGUUGCUUUGAAGCAGCAGCUCGCCCUCCAUGGCGACACGGACAUCAACGAGGAGCGCGCGGUGGAGAAGCUCUUGCGCGCUGCACCGGCCAAGUACGCGCAGCUCUGCAUCGCCAUCGAGACCCUCCUCGACUUCCAGGACCUCACCAUCGAGGAGGUGUCGGGUCGACUGAAGACGGUGGACGAUCUGCAGGAGGUCCCCGGAGAGCCCCUCAUCAUCGCCGGCAAGCUGAUGCUCUCGGAAGAGCAGUGGCAUGCACGGCAGAAGGAGAAGAAGAAGGGCGUCCAGGACUCUGCUUCCGCCAGCGGCAAGGAGCCGCGGCGUCGCCCCCGUGGCGGGAAGAAGCAGAGGGCCAAGAACGAGCGCCGCGAAGACGACGGCGAGCGCAAGGCCAACCGCGACGACAUCUGCCUGAACUGCAAGCGGCCGGGUCACUGGGCACGCGACUGCCGUGAUCCUCCGCGACAAGGCGGUGGCUGUGGAAGAGAUCGCGGCGGCCAGCAGCAGGGAGGCCGCGGCGGAGGCGGCGGCGGUGGUGCGCGGGGCGCAACACAUGUCGCCGAGGCGGAUUCGGAUGAUGGCGCGCUCUUCUUCGCCCACGGCGUCGUGCAACUGGAGGAGAAGGCGCCAGAAGUCCUCUGCACCAAGGGCGCCGCGUUCCUGGAUUUCGCCGAACCGCGCGCACGUGCUUUCCUCGGUGACGCCAGCGCCGAGGACAAGCUCGACGGCUGGUACCUCGACAGCGGCGCCACCCACCACAUGUCUGGGCGUCGUGAGAUCUUCUCCGAGCUCGACACGACCGUCCGCGGCACGGUGAAGUUCGGUGAUGCGUCGCGCGUGGAGAUCCAGGGCGUGGGCUCGGUCGUGUUCCAGGCGAAGAACGGCGAGCACCGCAUCCUCCACGGCGUCUACUUCAUUCCGGCGCUGCGCAACUCCAUCAUGUCCCUGGGUCAGCUCGAUGAAGCGGGCUCGAAGGUGGAGAUCGAGCACGGUGUCCUGCGGAUCUGGGAUCAGCGCAAGCGCCUCCUCGCCAAGGUAAAGCGCGGCAGCAACCGUCUCUACAUUCUUCACCUCGACGCCGUGCAGCCUGUAUGCCUCGCCGCGCGGAAGGACGACGAUGCCUGGCGCUGGCACGAGAGGCUUGGACAUCUGCACUUCGACGCGAUCCAUCGGCUCGGGAAGGAGGAGAUGGCCCGAGGCAUUCCGGUGAUCGAGCACGCGGCGCAAGUCUGCGACACCUGCGUCAUCACCAAGAUGCGCCGCCGGUCGUUCCCGCAGAAGGCCGCGUACCGCGCCGAGCAGCCGUUGGAGCUCGUCCACGGCGACUUGUGCGGGCCCAUCACGCCGGCGACUCCAGGAGGCCGACGCUACUUCCUCCUCAUGGUGGACGACGCCACGCGCUUCAUGUUCGUGGCGCUGCUCGCAACCAAGGACGAGGCGGCGCAGGCAGUGAAGAAGAUCAAGGCUCAGGCUGAGAAGGAGACCGGCCGCGAACUGAAGGUGCUGCGGACCGACAAUGGUGGAGAGUUCACCUGCUCCGAGCUCGCCGAGUACUUCGCCAUGGAGGGAGUCAAACGCCACUUCUCCGCGCCACACUCGCCACAGCAGAAUGGCGUUGUGGAACGGCGGAACCAAACGGUGGUGGCCACCGCGCGGGCUCUGCUCAAGCAGCGCGGCAUGCCGGCUCGUUUUUGGGGGGAGGCAGUGGUGACCGCAGUUCAUCUGCUAAACCGCUCGCCCACCAAGUCAUUGCAGGGCGUGACACCCUACGAGGCCUGGCACAGGCGCGCGCCGUCCGUGGCGCACCUGCGCGUCUUCGGGUGCGUCGCCUACACGCGCGACUUGGGGCAGCUGCGCAAACUCGACGACCGCGGCGUCCCCGGCAUCUUCAUCGGCUACGCUGAGGGCGCCAAGGCCUACCGAGUGUUCGACCCGGCGUCUGGGCGCGUCAAGACCUCCCGCGACGUCAUCUUCGACGAAGGACGUGGGUGGAACUGGACGACGCCGGCGGCCGGAUCCUCUGCAGCGGCAUCAAGUGACUUCGACAUCGAGUGGCCGGCCGAAGCAGAGGAGAUACCCGCGUCAACACCAACCUCCCCGAGCCCACCUCGCGCGCCAUCCUCUGCUCCGGGGGAGCAUGAGAGGAACGAUGCGGACGAGCCGAGAACUCCUGCCGCUGGCUCUACUACACCAGUUGCGGCAGUUGAGAUCGGCGAUCCGGUGGAGUUUGCUUCGCCGCUGGAGGGAGAUGAAGACCGGGUUGAUGCCUGGCACGAUGAUGAGCCCCUGCGCUAUCGCACGGUGGCCAACAUCCUCGGCAACGCUUCUACGCCGCCACCGCCGCCGCGCCUCUUCGCUGAAGUCCAUCUGACUCAUGCGGGAGAACCGGCAAACUUCGACCAGGCCAAGGACGACCCUGCCUGGCGCGCGGCUAUGGAGCAGGAGCUCAAGUCUGUGGAGCAGAACCACACCUGGGAGCUAGCUACGCUCCCGGCUGGUCACCGGCCCAUUACCCUCAAGUGGGUGUACAAGCUCAAGAAGGAUGAACGGGGCGCGGUGAUCAAGCACAAGGCGCGUCUGGUGGCGCGCGGGUUCGUCCAGCAAGAGGGGAUUGACUACGAUGACUCCUUCGCACCGGUGGCACGCAUGGAGUCGGUCAGGGUUCUCCUCGCGCUGGCAGCUCAGGAAGGAUGGUCUGUCCACCACAUGGACGUGAAGUCCGCCUUCCUCAACGGCGAUCUCAAGGAAGAAGUCUACGUGCGGCAGCCGCCGGGCUUCGCCGUCGCUGGGGAAGAAGACAAGGUCUAUCGCCUGCACAAGGUUCUGUACGGUCUGCGCCAGGCGCCUCGUGCCUGGAACGAGAAGCUGGACUCAACACUCAAGGAGAUGGGGUUUCAGCAGAGUUCUCACGAGGCGGCCAUGUACAGGCGGAGCAGUGGGCGGGCAGUUCUGCUCGUUGGCGUCUACGUCGACGAUCUGAUCAUCACCGGCACCAAUGAGAAGGAAGUGGCGGCGUUCAAGGCUCAGAUGAUGAAGGCAUUUGAGAUGAGCAACCUCGGGCUGCUGAGCUUCUAUCUUGGUGUCGAGGUCCGUCAGUCAGCUUCUGGGAUCUAUCUCCGGCAGACACACUACGCUGAGAGGAUUCUGGAGCUUGGAGGCAUGGAGGGCUGCAAUCCUGCAGCAACUCCCAUGGAAGAAAGGUUGAAGCUCAGUCGCUUCAGUACUGCUGAGGCAGUGGAUCCUACUCACUACCGGCGGUUGGUUGGUAGUCUGCGCUAUUUGGUUCACACCAGGCCAGACAUUGCCUUCGCAGUCGGCUUUGUCAGCAGAUUUAUGGAGAAACCCACCAUGGAGCACCUCGCAGCUGUGAAGCGCAUUCUGAGGUACCUCGCCGGAACACUGGAAUAUGGGCUGCACUUCACCAGAGCCCCUGGCAGUGCACGGUUCAUUGGCUAUUGUGACAGUGACCUUGGUGGUGAUGUUGAUACAAGCAAGAGUACCACUGGUGUUCUUUUCUUCCUUGGUCAGUGUCUGGUGUCUUGGCAGUCUAUCAAGCAGAAAGUAGUGGCACUCUCCAGUUGUGAAGCAGAGUAUGUGGCUGCUACUACUGCUGCUACACAGGCUAUGUGGCUGUCAAGACUGCUGGCUGAGUUACUUGGAAGACCCGUGGAUAUUGUUGAGCUGAAGGUUGACAGCAAGUCUGCACUGGCCCUAGCAAAGAACCCUGUCUUCCAUGAGCGCAGCAAACACAUCAGAAUCAAGUACCAUUUCAUUCGAAGCUGUCUGGAGGAUGGCAGCAUCAGGGCAGAGCAUAUCUCAACUGGUGAUCAGCUGGCUGACAUUCUUACCAAGGCAUUGGGCAAGACCAAGUUUGAAGAGCUCAGGGGAAGGAUCGGCCUGGAGGCAAUCUCAGCAAAGGAGAUCAAGACCAAGGGGGAGAACUGAUGGUAGUUGGUCAUGUAUCUAGUAUAGCAGGGCCUAAGUAUUGCCCACUGCAGUUUUGUUUUCCUUCUCUGUUUUAAAUUAUGUGGCUGUAAUAGGCUUGCUUGGGGGUCAAGAAGAUAAGACCCUUGGCAGCCAAGUUAACUAGGAAUCUACUCUAGAAUAUGCCUAUCCAAGAGGCAGCCCUCAGCCUAUAAGAGCUGGAGACAGGGCAAGGGGUUUUGUAACCGAGAUCCAUUUUUUGCAAUUCAAUCAAAAGGCCAUAGCAGGCAAACUGCCCUCUGGCUGUUGCCAGAUCAAUCUCGUGUUCACCAAAUUAUCCAACAAUAAUAACAGCAGGGGUCCUAAUAUAAACAUCAAGAUAAUAUAAAUCUGCAUAUUCUGUAGUAAAUGAAUACACUAUGCGCUCAUGAUCACUCACAUUGUUGUCAUCCAAUGUUAACAUUGUCUACCGUAGGGCCUUGAUCUUCUAAAUCAAUAUUCAUCUGGGUUUUUUUUUCAACUGUUCAUAUUACUCUGGAAAAAUUUGUCAAGGGGUCUUUUUAAUGAUUCUACUAGCUCAUGUACUUUUUUCUACAAUUCUAGAUGCAUGUUUUCUUUACAUACUUGAAAAAUAAAAAUCAAACUGGUAAUUGAAAUCUAAAUAAAUAUGAUCAUGAUUCAUCGAAGCAUUGCUUAUAAACAAUUAAUCCAUAACUCAUCAUGUACUAGAACCACUGACUAGCUUUAGGGCGAAGAUGGAAAAGGCAUAGCUGCACGAUAGGCGUACAUACUAUCGGGGAUGGUUUGAUCACUGGUUCACACAAUCCGGCGUCGCAGACUCAGCAGGUCCCAUUUAAAUAGCGAAUCUACGUUCGCUAGCACCAGCAACUAAAUUUUUGCAGCCAAGUCAAUGGCACAUGGACCAAAAAACAGAUCCAAAAGUACCCUAUGACGUGCAUUUUUUGUCAGGCCCAGCUGUCUAGGUAGUAUAUGUAUAUAUACAUACAGCACUAUGUUUCUUAGAGUUCUGAAUACAGCUGAGUCUGUAGUAUGUAUACUUAGUGAGGCCCUUGAUUUUGGGGGACCCAUGGGCCAUGGAAGCUGCCCCGCCCACACCCCUCCUCGAGGACCGGAUAUGGGAAAAAAGAGGGCAGGGGCAAAGAGGUUAUUUUAUGCCUCCAUGAGCGUUUGACACUUUGACUUGACAACAACGGCGUAAAAGGAUAGAAUUUGUAGCCAGAUACCAUAUAGGGGGUAAUUCAUUUUGUGACGGCAAAAUAGGGAUUCGGGUAAAUUGCAAUGGUGUAGAAAGAAUUAUCUCUCAUGGCAUACAAUCUAGGGGCUGUUCAGUUCCUGAAAAUUUUUGCAAAAUGCUACUGUAGCACUUUCGUUUGUAUUUAACAAAUUAUUGUCCAAUCAUGGAUUAACUAUGCUCAAAAGAUUCGUAUCGCAAAUUACAUGUGAACUAUGCGAUUAGUUAUUUUUUUAUCUGUAUUUAAUGCUCUACUAUGCAUGUGCCGCAAGAUUUGAUGUGACGGGGAAUCUAGAACAUUUUGCAAAAUUUGUCAGGAAGUAAAUGGGGCCCUAAUGGCUACACAAGCGAGGACUAACUAGGAUGCUGCCUGGUCUAUCGGUCAAGCAAGCAGAGGACUGACUGCACAGGUGCUUGCACGGUGGUGUGAUAAAGAUACGCCAUCUGCCAUUGUUUCUUUUUUGGCAUUAAACUGUGUUUGUGUGGGUUUUGAUCGAGGCUUGUCUCUUGAAUAAAGUAGGUUAGUCCUAGGUCCUUUCUCAAUCCGCCGUUAUCCCUAAUCUAUUUCUGGUUAUCAAACUGCUUGAGUUUCCAUAAUGAAAGUAAUGGAAAUGGUGUCUCAUAAUUUCAGAAGAGAGAAUUAUCCCCUUGAAGAAGACUAACCUGUGCUCUCAAGUUGUCGGUUAUGAAGCAGAUUACGCAGACAGAAGAGUUGCUUAGCUUUCAAAAGUGGCUGCUCAGGAUGGGAAAGCUCAAUAUGUAACCUGAUUUCAGUAAAGCAUAACAUUAUGAAGCAGUUUAACAGAUGCAUCGCCUACCUCCAUACUAUAAUAAUGAUACAGAAAUAAUGAUGCAUGGCUAGCAUAAUAUCAAGGCAGAUACUGAUAACUACGAGUGAUACAGCUCUAUUACAGAAAUAUGAAUAAAUAAAUCCAAAGACACAAUUCUGCUGGAUAUUUGUAGCUAGUUUGUUCUCAACAUAAAGGAUGUAUGCUAUCAUAGGAAAAUUCUAUUAGCUACAACCAAAUGAUCCAUUUUGUCCAUUUGACACCCCUAAACAAAAUUUAAGAUCAAUUCACUCCCACAAUCUAAUUCAAUUGGCCCAAUCUAGACCCUGAUGUGUUUUCUCUUUUUUUUCACGUGCAGGUUGAGAUUUAAGUUCAACAUUCUUGGGGUGAUAGAGUACAUGAUAUCCUAUGUUAGAAAGAAUACAUUAAGAGUUUUUCAACACAAAGAAGGAUACACAUAGGAAAAAGUUCACUUUACUACCCCAAACAAUCAACUUUGUUUGUUUGUCUACCUGCAGAAAAUUCGGCUCAAUUUGCUCCCCCAAAUUAUUUCAGUUUGUCCAAACUAACCCCUAAUGAUUUCUUUUUCUCUUUUGUUGCUUUGCAUGUUUGCAUGCAAGUUUCGUUUUGAGUUCAAAUUUUGUAGGGGAUAAAGGACACGAUAUCUUAUCUCAAAAAAAUACAUUAAGAAUUUUUCAUCACUAUUUUUCAUACAAUUUUGUGUUUCUCAGGUCAGUUUAGCUUUACAUUCUCCUAACUACAAAAACAAUAAUGAACAAUUCUUAAUAUAUACUUUUUUAACAAAAGUUAUGAUGUCCUUUGUGACUCCACAUAAUCUGAAAUUAGAAACUAAAUUUGUAUACAGGGAAACAAAAAAUAUAUCACUAGUAGGGAGUAGAUUGGACCGAUUGAAAUAGUUUGGGGGAAUAAAUUGAGCCGACAUUUUGUUCAGGGGUUUAAGCGGAGAAAGUGGAUUGUUAAGGAUAGUAAAACAAACUUUCCUGAUUAUCAUAUUACAUAGCAUAAUACUUAUACUUCUGAAAUGGCAUGCAUAACUCUGAAAUCUUAGAGCUCUGUGAUCUAACUAUAUUUGCCUUGCUGGCAGCCCAACAUGGUAUAGUACAUUUUUGCAAUGUAUGCUAAGAAUGGCAUGUAAGAAAUAAUUCAUCCUUUUACCUUUCCUUAAAAUGUUCUUCAUAAGUUGCACCGUUCAACUCACUUUUAGCAUUUGUUCCAUCCAGAAUGGAGUCAACGAAGAAAAACAGGUCGGUAUGGGGAGUAUAGACCAAACUGCCAAUGACAUCAGCUUUCUUGUAUGCUCCACCGAGAAGCUUCAAAGACUCAUUUGGCAAAUAUGAAUCAGGCAGAGACAAACCCAUUGGAUCUUGAAAUGCAGGUGAUGAUAAACACUUCUUUAUUGUUGGCCAAUCAAUCAUAUUAUCACCAUAGAAUUUCUGCUUGAUGGGAAGUAAAAGGUAAAAUGUUGAAUCCAUGUCCAAUGCAGCAUCAUUCCCCAACAAAAUAUAAGAUGAAGUGAACUCGGAUCUGUCCAGAAGAACUUUCAAAAACAUCUCUUGAAAAUUGUGUGCGAGUAUCAUCUGUAAGAUAAAAGAAAAGAGACAUGUGAGGCAAUGUUCCCUGAAAAUUAUGUCUUAGCAUUUGAACAGAUAAGCAAGACAGUGCCUCUUCUUUGUUAAACUCAAUCUUUCCCAAAUAUUUAAUUCCUGCUUUCACAAUCCUCGCAUGAGCAAGAUGCAAUUCAACAUCCAACUUUUCAGAUUCCUCUGGAAGGCGAUUGAUCACAAAAAGACCAAACAUCUGAUAUCGUCUAUCUGCUGGUUUGGGAAUAAAUUCUAUGUAAUAGAAAUGCAACUUCAAUGAGCAAUCUAGUUUGCAGCCUGAAGGUCUCAGAACUGCAGGGAUUAACAUCUCAUGAAGCUCUUCCCUAAAACUUUCAUCUGAAACAUGGAAAAAAAUGCUUAAGCCAAAUUACCAAUAUUAUCCGCAUCAUAUUCUGAAUAAUGAACAAUGACCAUACCCUCAUCUUUGUUGCUUUCUGAAAUAUUUGUUGUUGAUACCUUCAUCUUUCUAGAGCCUUGACCAGGUAGAAGAAAAUCUGUCAAAGCACCGAGUUCAUGAAGUUUAAUGCAUGCUUUCAAGCAUGCAUCUCUCUUAGCUUCAUCUUUCGAUGGACAGGGUUGACCAUUCACUUGACGGAAAGCAGCAUUUGGUGGAAGAAUUAGUCUGCAAACUAUUCCAUCAAUGUCAUCAACAAAGAAGAAUGAUGGGGAAGGAACAAAAAACCUGCAACAAGAUGUAUCAAAUUAUUCUAGUAGAGUAUUUACAUGACGCAAAAUGGGUAGAAUAAUAAAUGAUCCUUUGCAUACAUAUCUCUAGGAAGGUUAUCACAGUAGCGAUGUAAUAGAGAUACACUGCAAGCAGUGCUAAUGGAAGCACCAGUAUCAUUGACUCGAUAGAUGUUCUCCUCAAGGCAAUCGAACAUAUCAUUUGAUGUUCUCAAGUUAAUCUCUUUAUCCAUAAUGCUUUCACCAGUAAUAUAAUCAUCAAGUAACUUCUCCUGAGACUGAUUUCCCCUGGUAAAUAUCAAAAUGAAGAGCUUCAAGGUCUAGAACCAAAAACAAGGAACUAAAUUCAAGGAAACGUUAAUAGCAUUAUGAUAGGUUUGCGAAAAUUAGCCAGUGUAAUCGGUGAAUGCAGGCAUGUGCUCGUGUGGGUGGGUGUUACGAAAAUGACCUCUCCAGGAGAAAAACAUAUUUAGAUUUACUCAUUCGGGCACGUCCCCUUGACUGGAUAAAGCUAUUAACAGUUUCAGGGAGAUCAAACCGCACAACAAGGCAGCAAGUCUGAAUGUCAAGUCCCUCCUCACCUACGCUAGUAGCGACCAAAAGAUUCACCUGUAAAAAAAGUAAGGGAAAAGGGACUGUAACACAAGAAGCAUAAACAUAUAUACUGGUGUUAGUGGAGAUAAUAAAGAUAAACCUGACAAGGACUAUUAAGGAUGGACAGACUUCAGAUUAUACCUCACCCGAAGAGAACUUUUCAAUGAUAGAACCCAUCUUGUCCCUUGACAUGUUCCUUAAUCCUGAAUGGCAUCCCACAAGACACUCACAUUUCCAAAAAUCAAGGCACUUCAGUUUUUUGAGAAUAUGUGCUACUACUCUUGCGACAAUGAUUCUUUUCACAAAAACAAUGCAUUUCGUGUUCUCCUCCAGCCUGUAGAAGAAACCAAAGAGAAAACAACCAGGAUGAUGCCAAUAGAAUUGAAGGCACAAACUUGUUUUAAAAUGGUUACAGCUAAAACAUUGAAAUUGCUUGGUUUGUAGUUGGGUUUUGAAGAUAUUCAAGGCGUACAGCAAACCAAUAGAAAAUAUAAUUUCAACAAUGCGGCAAACAAGUACAUCACUGGCUAGGAUGUCUGAAAGUAUAAACUUCAAACCCAUGCAGAAGUCUCAGUGGCCAUCCUAGCUGUUAUGUGGGUUAAAGAUCGAUGAUAGAUCCUGUGGAAACAACAGUUGAUAUGCAUUCCCUCUGGCCAGGUGCAUAUUAUGAUGGGUAUUGUCAUCUCUCAGCAGAGACCACAUGUUAUGUAUUCAUGGCAUAACUAGUCUUUCUGGUAAUUCAUAGUGAACUUAAUAACCAUGUUGUCAGCACCAUUUUCUAUAUGAAAUCCCAGAAAUCAGUUAUAUACCUUUCAAUUGUGCAAAAUAUUAUAUCCUGACAUGUAACCCCUUCAUAUUUGUUCAUAACUCCAUAUUAUCUUGCUAGCUACCAUAGCCAGCUGGGUAUCCACAAAUCUCCAGUGGAUGAAUAUGAAGCUCAGUUUCAUUAAAGGGAGAGGUGUACAUCUAACUUGAUGAAGACUAUGAAUUCAUAUUGUAGUCAUUUUAGGCCCAAGCGUAGACUAUAAAAUUUCUAACUGCUUGUUUGUGUACUAUAAGAUUGAUCCUAGGGCCAACCAAUUACUGUAAGCUGGCAGGCUAUUACCUGUAGUCUGUACAGUUAUGAAGUUUUCAAUGCAAGGAAAGGUAGGGAUUGUGUAAUUAUAUACACAAUUAAUAUCAUAUUUGAUUGAAAGAAUGUGGUGGCAGUGAGACCAAACUCAGGCACCCGGCAGGACUGAAGCUUAUAAUGCCUUAAGUACACGACUGAAAAUCAAAGAUAUGUUUCUGAAAAAUGAUAGUAGCACAAGUGAUCAUGCUUACCUGUAUCUUGAUAGGACGUCAAUAAGGACUGCAAAUUUUUUUGAGAAGAAAGGUUCUUUUAUUGUCUCUAGGUCAAAUGAAUCAGCAUCCGCACCUUAAAAACAAAACUGUCAGAUUUUUUAAUGGAUAAUAUGAAAUAAGUAUGCAUUUUCCAAUUAUUUCCAACAAAAUGUAACUCCAAAAGGUCCACUAUAUAAACUAUAUGUAUGACAUAUGCAGAUCAGCUUGUUGAAUAACAUAUCCGAAACACCAGCAAAGUGUACGAGGAGGGGAGUUCACCUUCUAAGAUGUCGCGGCUUAGAAGAGAUGUCGCUUUGUUUACAUAGUAAUUAAUAUCAACCCCCUUUCCAUCUAGACUAACACUACUGGGAGAGAGAAAGGUCCUUGCAGCCUGCAUUACAAUCAAACAAAUAACAUCACAUACGUGUUAAGUUCACACCUACUUUUGACAUUAGGCAAAAAAAAAUGUGGCGGCUGAAAUGGAUGCCACAAGUGGGGAGUAGUGAAUAGUCUGCUAUAAAAGUAGUUCAAUGACAUGUAUGGCAUGGGGCUAAAAAUGUGUGGUAAGCCACAAUUGUGGCAUUAAGCAGAACACAUACGUCACAAACUGUGGCAUGUCAAGGUUUUAUCCCAAAUUAAAUAGGCCAACAUGGAGGGGAUCCAAGAUUUUUUAAUAAAACCAAACCACAAUCCAUCUAUUUGUUGUGUUAAGUUUUGGGGAAAAUAUUUGGGCCUGUCAUCUUUUCAAGGCUCUCCGAGUGCAAUGAAUCUUGUGUUUAUUACUUAUGAAGAAAAAGGCAAUACCAAGCACACCAAGAUAAAUGUAAUUGAAAAAAAGAUCUUGCAAGGAUGUAAGCUAUUUGGGAUCAGUAAGCCUUCGAACAACUUCAUUGAGGAGGUUUGUCACGUGAACAUAAUCACAAAUGUCACUCAAAGAUGCAAAGAAGUACAUUAUAGUCAGUUUAUUAAAACAAUAAGAACAAAAAAUCACGUAUAAAAGAAAACACUGGGUAGCUUGAAAACACAUAUGCAAGCUACUGGCUGUUACAGACUUCCAGUACAACAGUUCUACAUUCCUACCACUGCCAAAAUACAAGUGAGGAACAGUGAAGAAGGAAUUCAACUGAGGCGAGAUUGUAUAAAGAUUUAAAUGCUGGUUGAACAAACUGUGCAAACUCACCUGGAGAGCUCCAAAGAGACCAACUUCUUGCAAACAGAAAAUCAAAUUUUCAUGCAACCUCCAUAAGGACUUUAGUUUCUUUUGUGACUCCUUGAAAUUGCAUGCACUCUCUCUUAACAUGUAUUCAGACUGUUCAAAGCACAUUAAAAGCUGUUCAAGGAUAAAGAAAAAAGAAAAUAACCCAAAACCUCAUGUUAACUGGACCAAAGAUAAAUCCUGUAUAAUUAAAAAAAUCACCUGAGACUUGUAGCCAUCAAGCUCAUUGAUGUAAGUUGUAGUCAAGUUAGAGUGACCAACUGGGUCAUAAAAGUACACUUCAAUCUUAGGAGAAGCAAUCACACUUUCAAGUUCUACAUUAUCAACUGAACAAACCUAGAGUACAAGUUUACAAAGCAAAUUGUCAAAAUCAUCUUAAGCCCAGCAGAUUUAUGGAGAAAAGUAGUUGUAUUUACCUUUGCAUUAAGUAAUUCCUCGAGACUGUUGAUACAUUUAGUGUAGGUAAGCUUGUUAGAACCACCUGUCAUAGAAAGUAUAGGAAUGAUAAUUAGCCAGCCAUGGGGAAGAAAUAUAGUUAAAUUGGAUGAUACAACUUUAGAGGAAGAAUAGCAUAUUGGUAGGCAACACUCUACAUUUCAUCUGUUUGUGUUAGUUUGACCAAUAUUUUGUGUGUCCCUACUCCCUAGAUACCUAUAGAAUUUCAAUCCAAAGAACAAUUCUGCUGCAACAAAAUAAUGGAGUAAUACAACUAUAAGUAUCAUUCAGUCACUGUACUUUGAGCUUUUGGCCCUCACAAUGGUUUGGAAUAAAAGGAUGAGAAACAGGUGUCCAUCUUAUUCCACUCAAAUAACUCUUCUCCUCUCCUAGGAUUGCUCUCUAGUAUGUUUCUAUCCAAUUUUCUCAUACUCCUGGUUUUGUAAUACAGCUGAGCAAAUUACCAUAAAGACCUCAAAAGUAUAAGAGAUCAUCCCUCCCUGCCAUUCCAACUGAUUGAUUGGUAUAUUAUCCUUGCUUUCAUGCAAAACCUUAUGUGUUGUGGAUUGGAAAAGAAUACCUCCACCACCUAGAUUCAAGUUCUCUUCAACUUGAACUUGGAUGCCCAUUUCUUCUUAAUGCAAAUCCCCCUACUUCCUUCUAGAUCGGUCUAAUUUUUCUUUAAAAACAUAAACAAUAUGUUGUACUAUCAUAAAAAGCUAGUAAUCUCAUUCUGUAUACUAAAUGCUGGCCAUUUAACAGAUCACCGAUCAAACAAUGGUACAGAUUGUAUGAAGGCAAGAAUAAUGGACUGCAUAAUUUGAAAGCUAGGCAUAAAGGGAAAGAAAAUAAGAUUCAAGCAUUAACCAAAUGAGAAAAGGGCAAGAAUAUAUUCUGAUUCUGACUCUUAACAUAAUUUGAAAUAUGAGAAAGAUAGAAAUUAAGUUAAUACAGUUGCUAGCACGAUAGGUUAAGACCAUUGACGAGGAAUAAAACAUUUAUGUAAGAACACCAUUACCUUUUCCAAUAAUCGGUGAAGCAGUCAUGCCAAAAACACGAGGAUGUUUAUCAGCGUUAUUAUAGAAUUCCUGAAAUAUUGUUAUAAAUAUUUCAAGACUAAGAAGUCCGCAGUUCAUGUAACUUUUUUUUUGGAACCAGGAAAACAGCAGGGGAAGCCCCCACUGUUAGAUUUUAUUAAAACACAAAAACAAACUCUGAGCAAAACAAAUGGAAAACACUUCAGAUAACCCCGAGCGAGGCUAGAACAAGAAGAAAAACAAAGAGCCACUAAACACAAGAAUCAACCCAGAAGAGAAAAACAGAUUGCUUGUUUUCAGAAAUCUUAUACGCUUGUAGUCAAGCUUCAUUUUUUAGAGAUCUUCUCCAGGAAGAGGAGGUCCGCUCAUAAAAAUGAGGUUAUUGAGUUCAUCUAACUUACUAAAGAGUCUUUAAGAGGUAUUAUUGAGUUGCAUGCACCGACCAAUUCAACCCAAAAGCUUAAGCUGAUGGGGAGAGGUGGGCAAUUCACUUAUAUUCCAACACUCCCCCUCACGUGGAGGCUUCCUCAGGCCUCAGACGUGGAAUAUGAGCGAGCAAAAUUAUUUUAUUUAAUUGCGCUAACCAGGAUUCGAACUCGAGACCUCUGGCUUUGAUACCAUAUUGAGUUGCAUACACCGACCAAUUCAACCCAAAAGCUUAAGCUGAUGGGGAGAGGUGGGCAAUUCACUUAUAUUCCAACAGGUAUAGUACAACUUCUGCAUAUGUUCAAUUAAUAUAAAGCAAUGGAAUUUCAUCAAUUUUUCAUUCCAACUACGUGAUCAAACCCUCAUAACUGCAUAAGAGUAUUUGUCAUGUAUUCAAUUAAACGUUGAGAGAAUAAGGAGAAAACAAGUAGCUCUGGAUCAUCACCAGGUUGUGGCUCAAUGCAACAAUACCAUGCAUCAUGAAGAAUACAGUGACAUGUGUAUAAGAACAGCAAAGGACAUAAAAGAUGAUGCGCCAGAAAUGUGAUAAUAAAUUACAUCUGGUGCAUCUACCAUCCAUAACAAAGUAAACAGCUAUAGCAUACUCUAGCGCAGUUGAUGGGAGGUGUGGCUGGGCACCCUCCACGCCUGGGUUUUCGAGUCCUCUUCGACUCAAAUUCAGGUGCCUAUUUUCUUUUUAUUGACAGUGCCACCUAGUUCCUCCUAGGUUGGUUGACAAAAUGAGAAGUGUAUUGUAAUGAAGAAUUAGCAACUACUCCCUUCGUUCCAAAUUAUAAGUCGCUUUGUCUUCUUUGGUGCAGAGGGAGUACUAUGUUAAGAAACAAAUAUGAAUGCCAGAUACUGAGAAGUAUAUGGUUGUGAAGAUUUAGCAAUUAUUUUUUUUUAAGAAACAAAUAUGAAUGUCAGAUAUAGAUUCGAAUAAAUGUUAAAUACUCGUAUAUGUAUAUUAGAAUAUGGUGAUAAUCUGUAUCUUAGGAUGUCAAUGGAACCAUUGUAGAAUUCUGAGAAUCCUUUGCACAUAUUAAUAUAAUCUCCAGUUAUACCAAAUGUAUUCCGCAUACUGAUUUUAUUAAGAAAGGAUUCAUUAGGAUCAAUUGGUAUUAGGACAGGAUCCAUUAGGAUCAAUUGUUAUUAUUAGGAUAGGAUCCAUUAAGAUCAAUUGUAUAGGAUAACUAUCCAUGUAUUAUACCACCUACCUUGUACCACAGGUUAUUAUAUGCAAGGCACCCCCCCCACACACACACCACCCCACAAUGGACGUGUGGGUGGUGUGAUUCCCAUACCUUUCUACAGUUUUGAAAGUGAAAAUAUAUAGGUAAGUUCAUCAUCAGCAAAAAUAAGUUGUACAAUCUGUUCCAAAGCCUCUAGAAGUCUAUCACCCACCCACACGUUUAGUACCGAAAAUAUCUACAGUGUUAGUUUUUUUUCCUUUUUUUUGGGGCGGGUGGGGGGCAAGUUACUACAUUAAAAUCCUGUCAGCCAUAGCAACACACUUCCUGAAAUGGAGAAUUAAUAUUGCACAGGUACAGGAGGAAGUUCUGUGACCUGAAUAUUAAUUUCCAGAGAUUGCAACAGAUGAUAGUACAGGCACCGAAAUUGUACGCGAGCAGUUACCUUCAUGAUUUGUGCAUAUGGAUGCCUUUUUUGUGCUUGUGCAUGAUGGCAUUCAUCAAAUAUCAAAAGUGCAAUUGAGUCCAUCUUGAUGAAACAAUGACGCAAAUUGUGCAAUAAUAUUUGAGGGGUCAUUACAAGGACCUGAAGCGGCAAAGAAAGCAGCACAAGUUAGGAAGAAAAAAUUAUGCAUAAGAAACAAUGAUGUUACAGAUAGAUUAUGUUUUCCCAAAGUUGUGUGUGAAUGUUGAUAUAAAUAGGUUAUGUUUGCCAAAGUUGUGUGCUGAUACAACUGCUGACUUUUCAUUUUACUCAAGAGUCAGAACACUGGUUCAAAAACGAUCAUAGGCUAAACACAUCUCUGUCUGAAUUUUUUCUCCACAACAUGUCAAGUACUAUGCUUUAUUAAUUUAUGCUAGCUACUAAAAAAUCUUCAAAACAGGACUAUCAGUAAUCACUUGGCAGCUGCCAGCAAAAAGAACAUAGAGCACACCAUACCUCGUAUUCUCCUAUCUCUUUCUCCCAUGCCUGGUGAUCUCUAGAGUUUUUACCACUUCCAUAGUAACGUUGAACCUUAAAAUUAGUGGAAUCGGCAAUCACCAUUGCUUGCUACAAAAUACAAAUACAGAAAAAGAGCACUGACUAAGCAUGUAAAGGUGCACCUGGUAGCAAAAGAUGUGGUCACAAACACCCAUAAGAAAAUGAGGGUGUACUCAUAAAAAAAAAUUGAUAGCAUGACUUCAUCCCCUCCAAAAAAGAAUAUAGAUAUAGUGAAGAGCAGGGAGCUAUUCUACCUGACGGACAAGGGGUAUGGUCGGUGCGAGGAAGAUGCAGACCUCGCGGCUGGGUUUGCGGAUGAGGUGUCCAAGCUCGUACAUGAGUAACACGGCAAUGUGUGUCUUCCCACAUCCCGUUCCAAGGUACACUACGAUGUUCUCCUCAACUGCCCUCUUGCAAAGGUCCAGCUGAUAUCUAAAUACCAAAAGCUAGCAAACCAUUAGUGUCUUUUCCAUACUCCCGGUAUUAUUUGAAGGAAACAGAGGAAAUCCUUGAUUAACAAAAAUUUGUCUGACAAUAUUUUAGGGGGGGGGGGGGGGGGGGACUUAGGGUCUCCCGCUGCUACAUGCAACAUUCAAUCAAAAAGCUGGCCACCAUUUGCCACAAAGUAGUACUCCUACAGUAAUAGUUGGAAUGAUGACAACAAGGCACAAUCACCACGACAUCUCGAAUAGUAGUAGUUAUUUAUGCAUUGACACGUAUCUGGGGUGCUGCAUUGCCAUAAAGUAAUUGCGUGGGCAGGUUGAGGAUCACACAUGCUUUUAAUGUCAAGCAGGCGAUCAACAGGACCGAAUCCUAGAGAUUAAGGGAUAUCACGUUCUCGAUCUUCGUGACAGGGGGCACUAAACAUCCAUAGCUGCAACCUACGGGGCGCGGCAGCAGCGGUAUCCUUGGAAUACCCAUAUUUUCUGUAACAAAAUAAAUUUGUAUUUGGGUAUUACUAAAAUGUCUAGUUCUACGAGUGCUUUUAGUUCGUGCUGUUUUGUUGAAAAUUAUUCUCGGAAUACCCUGGUGGAGAGUCCUGGCUCCGCCGUCCAAAUCGCAACUUAUGCGAAACUCAAACUCUCUCACGAAACGCUUCUAUCAAACAAUAUAAAAAAAAUGUGGAAAACCGAAAACAGCAGUAUCGGGCGUGAAAAGUAAGUUCAAUGACAGGAAGAACAAAAAAAACAAUCGCGUCUCAAAACCUGUCUAAAACCUUCACGAACUCCCGACAGAUGAGCAAUACACAAAACGAAUCGAUGGUCUCGCACGAGAUGAACAAACUAAAAAAUCCACCGCUCCCAUAGAAACUGCGCAGACAAAUAUGCCGGCCUGCCCUCCGCCGGAAAAUCUAAAAAACAGAUCAGAAGAAGAGUAGGAAGGGGCGCUUACUUGCGCGCGAUCCUUCUCGGAUCCUUGGGUUCGCCCGCGGCCGCGCCGGAGCUCGAGCUCCCAGCCUCGUCCUCGCCCUCGCCCAUGGCGGAAGCUUCGAGCGGAAGUAUAAGGAUGCGGGGGGAAAGGAACAGAACAGAACAGAGCAGAACAGAAGCGGAGGUGCGUGUGUGUGAAACUGCCGUGCGCGUCCCCCGAGUUAUUAUAAAUGAGGUAAGCAUAUAGGUGGGAGCUGGUCUUGUCGCGUCAAAUGGGAAGGGAAGGCGCUCGGCGGAGCACGAGAAGAGAAGGGCAGGGUAAUGGGCCCCGCUGAUGGCCUGGGGUGCGGGUCCACAGUGUGUACUCGUCUACAGUCGUCGGGUUUGCGUCUGCGGGCUGCGGAUGGCUGUGCGUCAGUGCGUGCAAUUGACGCGGUAGGCGAGAGGGAAUGAGAUUCUGCAGUCAUCCAAACCGACUGCAUCCUACAGUCAAGUCAUCUGCACCGUUCCGUGCUGAUCCAACGAUUGCUCUGCCAAAGUGACACAUAGGCCGCAUAAAUUCAAGGUCCACCAUAGCCCAGGUCCUAUCGAGAGGUCUCCAUGGUGAAAUCGCAGCUGCUGUCUUCCGCCUUGCUGCCUUACUGGCCAGCAUUGUGAGCGACUACCGCGUCACCAUCUCCAUCCCCUCAUCAAGAGCCGCGCCGUCUUCGUCCCCGCGCCGAUGCCGUCCUCGUCGUCGAGGGUCGCACCGUCGGCGUCCUCGUCGUCAAGGGCCACACGCCGUUGCUGUCCUGGUUGCUGCUGGCGUGCAGCGUUCCCACCUUGUCUCCCUGACUCCCUCCUUCACGGGGCUCCUGGCUGCCAUGGGCCAGUCGUGGCGCCUCCGCGGCUCGCUCCUGCACACAGGUGGCGACGAAAACAGCGGCUCCUCCGCCGGGUGCAGGUAGCUGUACGCGAACAACCGCCAUACAUGUCCAUCGCGCUAGACCGCCCUGUGCACGCCGUGUCCUUACAACCUAAGCCGCGUGUCCGACCUCAUCUCCCUGAUUGGCGCGAUUGUGCGCAUGGCCUGGGACGACGCCGCCAUGGCGCGUCUCCUGGGCCACGGCGACAUCGUUGUGGUCUGCCCCAAGCGCAACACUUCAUCUCGCUUUUUGCCGAGCUUAGCAGCACUGGCGGCCAAGAUCGAGAUGUUCUAUGGCACGGUGGCUCGGCAACCAGGAAGACAAGGACAGAGGCGAAGGAAGUUGCCAUGACGAGCUAGCUAGCGUGGUGGCUUGGGCUGAGAUGGGCCAAAGCCCAACGUAUGGAAGUUUGUUGGGAGCUGUUCGCCGUUCGAUCUUUAUGAAGGGUCCGAUGUCCCUGACUGUAGGGUGCAGUCGGUUUGGGUGACUGCAGAGGAUCUCAUUCCAGGCGGGAGGGGCCGAAGGGGUUGCCGCUGACGCGAACGGCGAUCUAGGCCUUGUUUAGUUCUAAAAAAUUUUGCAAAAUUUUUCACAUUCUCCGUCACAUCAAAUCUUGAGAUGCAUGCAUGAAGUAGUAAAUAUAGACGAAAAUAAAAACUAAUUGCACAGUUUGGUCGGAAUCGACGAGACGAAUCUUUUGAGUCUAGUUAGUCCAUAAUUGUAUAAUAUUUGUCAAAUACAAACGAAAGUGGUACUAUUCCUAUUUUGCAAAAUUUUUUGGAACUAAACAAGGCCCUAGCCCACGGGCCGAGCCGAGGUAUAAGGCCUUGUUUAGAUACACCCAAAAACCAAAAACUUUACAAGAUUUCUCAUCACAUCGAAUCUUGCGGCACAUGCAUGGAACAUUAAAUAUAGACAAAAAAAACUAAUUGUACAGUUUACCUGUCAAUCACGAGACGAAUUUUUUAAGCCUAGUUGCUCCAUAAUUAAAUAAUGUUUGUCAAAUAAAAACGAAAGUGCUACAGUGUAAAAAUCCAAAAAAAAUUUAGAUCUAAACAAGGCCUAACUUACUGCCUUUCGGCGUGGCGUGACAGCCUGUCGGACGACUCGGGACCGUGCCACGUGGUUGAGACUAUCUCAUAAAAAACUAAGUAUUCAAAAUUUGUUCUAAAAUUCAUAUCUUGUUCUUUCAGCGUGUAAGACCCUUUUUCAAAAGCGGAAAUUUCAAAAAAAUAGUGUAAAAAAUUACAGAAAUUAUGUAGGAAUUUCAUAGACAUUAACUUAUUUUUAUAGAAAAAACACGAAAAAUAGGAAAUUUCAUUCGUUCCAAAGGAGGACUAAACAUUUGAUACUUCAUCCUCGUCAUAAUUCGACCCAAACUAAUUAGACUCAAAGAUGGCAUCUAAUAUGUUUCGUUAAUUUUGUGAGCCCAUGUAUAAUAUAAUUAUUACAGAAAAGCUAUACGUUGCGUGUGUGAUUUUUUGGUUCUGCUCACUCGAAUUUCCUGGCCGUUAGAUGUUGAUCUAUGCUCAUCUCUGCCCUCCCUCAUUCAUUCCAAGUCUCCUUCACGUGGCUCUUGUUGUGCCCCACUUGUCAGCCCAUCUUUUGGGGAAACACGCCCUUUUGUACUGUUUUGAACGUGUCCUUUCAUUUCCCCGUGCCUUUUCGUCUCGCCGUCGUCGCCGGCAGUGGUUGAGGCGAUUUUGAGGCGGAGCUGCGUCGUAUCGCGCGAUUUGCCGUUGCUGGUGAGAUUUUGAUCCCUUUCUGGUUCGAUUGUUGUAGAUCCUUCAGUUCUCAAGUUGAUUUUUUAUUUAUUUUCUUCUUAUUUCUCUAUUUUGUCUAGUUUUGGUCGGUGGCCGAGGCGUACCCGAGGCAGAGCGGCUUCCUCGUCGACGAUUCGUCGUCGUUGGUGAGUUAUUCCUCCAUUUCUCGUUCCAUUGUUGUGGAUCCAUUGGUCCUCUUUGUGUUGGCGCGGUGAUCUGAUUACAUGUUGUUGUUCCCCUCCUUUUUUUAGAUCUUCUCAUUCUAUUUACUUAUUAUUGGAUUCUGUUUGUUUCGAUUUGCGUCUAGCGAGGCACAUUUCGAGGUAGAAUUCAAGUUUUUUUUGCAGUUGAUGCUGUAAUCCUGAACUAGAGGUCUUUGAUCUAUUUUACAGUUACUUGGACUUAUUCUGUUCUCCUGUCCAAGUUUGUAAUAUGAUGACUAUAAAUAGAUAUGGAUCUAAUUUGUUAGUUUAGUUCUUGAUGAUUUUAGUUCCUUUUGUUUACGGUUUUUUAUGUAAUUUUGAAUUCAGAGGUAUACCAAUUGGUGUGUGUAAUAAAUUCCAUUCUGGAUUUGUGUUGUGAUUAGGCCUGGUUAGUGUCUGUGCUUAAGUCGUUAGACUAUCUGUUUGUGACUUGCAAGUUUCAAUUGAUGUAGCACCAACUUGUUGUAGUAGGUUUUGGUUAUUGAACUGUUAGCAUAUGUUAGUGCGACCAUGUGCACAUGUUGUGCCUCCUCUGAACAUUAUUCAACUUAUGUACUUUUCUUUGUUAUGGUGUUGUUUACGUUCACUUACAAUUCUUGGUCAUGUGUAAUUUAUAUCUAUUGUGUAUGUAAGUAGUACGUAAUGUUAGUUUUUUUUGUUUGUUUUAUUAUUGCAUUUUAAAUUCAUACAAGCUGAAGUCAUGAUUUAUCUUGUAUCUGAUUUAGUGUUUUCUUUAUGUAUUUUUUGAUCAGUUUAUGUGUAUUUAUUUGUAGUUGGUUCUUGGUAGUACUAGUAGUUAAAUGUUUAUGUAUCUUUCUGUAAUUUUGGUCAUAGUGCAUUUUUUUAGCUUAUCCUAUUAUUCAUUAUUUUGUAGUGUUUGUUAGUUUUAUCCUUUCUUUCUGUGUUCUUAUAUUAUAAGUUCGAUUAGAUGGCUAGGAAAAGGAAUGUUCCUGUUGUUGACCUUUCAAGUAGUGAUUGUUCUGAUGGUCAUGAGGAUGAUGAAUUGUCAUUGCCUCUUGAUUCUUCUGAUCCUGAUCAAAAUGAUGACUCCAAUUAUGAUGAUCUUGUUGAUUCAGAUGUAAGUAUUUUUUUCUAUCUUGUUUAUUUGUUUCAUUUGUUCUAGUUCCCUGAUAAUUAUUUUUGUAGGAUUCUUUUUCUCUUAGUCAUCAUUCUAUCAAUCAAGCUUUGUACAAGGAGUACAUGAAAGAAGUAUGCUUUUUUUGUUUUGAUUGUUAUUUAUUUUAUGAUUAUCCUUUUUGCUUCCUCUUAUGCUAUCUGUUAUUCUGAUUAUUGUUCUAUCUUUUUUCAGUGUUCUAAGCUAAAUUCUUUGAAGAAGAAGCUUUUUAUGUCUUUUACUCAUAAUGUAAGUAUUGUUGGUUACUUUCUUUUUCUUUUUUUAAAUGUUUGUAUCAUGUUUUUUGUUGUAUUUUUUAUGUUUACUUUCUUAGGGGAAAAAGAAGAAGUCUGAUGGUGGACCUAAAGUUGGUUUCUCAAGAUUUUCUGUCACAAUGUUCUCUAAUGUGAUCAAAUCUCUUUCUGAAGAUCGUAAAGAUGUGAUUCGAAAGUAUGGAUUUGGUUCCCUUCUAUUGUUUGAUAGUUGUUCUGUGCCUAGAAAUUUUGUUCAUUGGGUUGCUCGCCUAGUGAACUAUAACUCUGGUGAUAUAGUUGUUGAUGGCAAGGUUAUUUCUCUCACUAAGGAGGCUGUUCACUUGGUACUUGACCUUCCAUUUGGUGGAUCUCCUUUUCCUCCCUGCUGGCAAGCUUUCUUUGCUAUCCAGAUUUGGGAAGGAUAAUGUUCCUCCAAUCAGCUUCUUUUCUGAGGCUCUUGUUUCUAAAAAAGAAAUGUCUGAUGAUGAUAUGUUUGUGUGCUUCAUUGUCGUUGCGAUGAGUACUUUCCUUUGUCCAAAUUCUUCUGUGGUCUCUUGUCACAAAUUUUUUGGCAUCUUUGAAGACCUUGAUAAAAUUCGAUCAUAUGACUGGUGUGGAUAUAUCCUAUCUUGGUUGAUUGAGUAUAUCAAGUUGUUCAAUCAGUUUAAGAGUUGCAGAUCUACUCAACAAACUACUCUUGGAGGUUGUCUGUACUUCCUUGUUGUAAGUUUUCGUGUCCUCAUUGUUCUUUCUGUUUUUUUCUAAUUAUACUCAUGUAUGGUUUAGUUCACUAUUUCUACUAUUGUUAGGUUCUAUACCUUGAUCAUGUUGAUUUUGGAUCUCAUCAAGUUGCUUCCACUAUUCCUCGUAUAUCUGUUUGGAAAAAAAGAUAUGAUUAGGCAGUAUGCAUGUCUUGACAAGACACAAGGUGGUUGUUUUGGCUACCAUCCUAUUAUGGAUUAUUCAAGGACUUGUUAUGCUAAGGUAUUUUUUUAUUUUGUGCUACGAUAUAUAUAUGUGAAUGGUUUCUUAUGUCAAAAUGCUAGUUGCAUCUUAUUUAUUUUUUUGUUAGUUGCAUUUUAGUCAAAUCUCGUCUCUUUUCAAAUUAUAGAAUAUGUUCUUUGGUUUAUAUGGUUAUUAUAUGUUAUUUAUUCUUUACUUGUAUAGAUGUUAUUAUGAUUAUUAAGGUGUAAGUACUAGUUUCCAUUACUAUAAGUAAACUUUAUAUCCCUGUUUUGUAUAAUGUUUUUUAUCCUUUGAAUGUUCUAUUUUCAUAUGCAUGUUUUGUAUCUUUAUCAAAUCAAUUAUCUGUAAUUUGCCGUUUAUUUUAUCUAUAGGAUAUGAGGUUGCUCCCUCAAAUCCUCCGUCAGUCUAUUGAUGAUGAAAUUUUUACCAAGCUUGAUUCUUAUGCUCGUUGCAAGCUCCCUUUAGAAUUGAAGGAUGCUAUUCGCAAGCUUAUUGAGAAGCACUGUUUGAAUUGUGGUCUUUCUGUCAACUUUGAUGUUAAUUCGAUUACUGCUUUAUCUGAUGAAAUGAGAUUGACUUUUAUCAAGCUUUGGAAGCAUGUGUACUCUGUUAGUGAGAUGUCUCAGGUUUUAGUUCUAGAAGUUAUUAGGCUGUUAUCUGAAUCUGUUGAAAAAGAUGAGCACUUUGGUUCUCCCAUUGGUGGUGUUGAUUCUUCUCCUAUUGUCCCUGAUCCUAGAACAACUCCUGUUAAUGCUAAUGGUAGGUUAUUUCCUUUCUUUCAAUCUUUUUUGCAUUGCUAUUUUUUUAUUUCAUGUAGGUUGUCCUGACACAGGAAAUGAUGAUCCAGAUGUUCAAGUUCUUCAUGCUUCUCAAUAUAAACUUCACCAAAUUCUGAAAGAUGUAUGUGUUUUGUAGCUACUUUUUUUACUCAUGUAGGUUAUUUUUUAAUUUUAUUCUCAUCCUUUUUUGCAACGUUCUACUGGUAAUGGUGUUGAUGGUGUUGAUGUUGGUCCGAGCUCUCCUAAACUUGUUUCUACUUCUCGUAAUCCUCUUGCUGAUAUUUCUAAUUCAAAGUCUUUGAGGAAAGGUUGUCUGAAGAAAUCAGUAUCUAUUGGUCUUGGCAAUGCUAUUGAUCUUGAGAAGAUGUAUGCUCCAAAUUCUAUAUCCCCUUCUCCUAUGCCUGGUUAUUCAAGAUAUUUUUCUCAAAAGGUUAGAUCUUUUUCUUUUUUUGGAUGUUUCAUUUUCAUACUUUCUUUUUAUUCUCUUUUUUUCUUAUUACGAUUUUUUGCUUAUUUUUUUUAGGUUGCUGGUUCAGUGAAGAAGGGUGGUCUACCAAAUUCUAGUGUAAGUUUUUUAAUUUUUACUUUUUUAUAAAAAUAUUGUGUUCUAUUCAAAGUGUACUAAUUUUGUUUUGUUUUUUAGGAUCAUUUGGUUAUGCAGACCCUAGAUUUCACUUAGUGCUCUCCUUCCCCUCAUCUAGCUAAACGUACUGAUAAUACUCGUUGUUCUGGUGGUUCUUUGCAUUCUGCAUCCAAGACUUCUGUGAAGGUAUUGUUGUUUUUAUUUGUUUUUUACAUUUUUUUACUUUUCGUAGUCAGUGUUGUAUUUACCUUUUGUUUCUUUUUUUUCUUUUACAGGUUUCUCCAGAAGUUAGAAUUGUUGGUGCCAAAUCUUUCUCGACAUGUGUUGGAGAAGUUACUAAGAAAACUAAUGAUAUCUACAAUUCCAAAUUGGAUUUGGGUGGGUCUAGUAGUACUCCUAGUCAACCUUUGACUCGUUCAACUCAUCUGUCUUUGCCUAGUUAUGCUCGGUUGAGCCAUUCAUUUGCUCCGAAGUCUCAAGUUGUAUCUACAGGUGGAAAGGUUCCUUUACAUGGUCCUAGGAGGCUUUUGAAUCCUGGCCCUCUAUUUCGUGGUGACUAUGAGACAUUCAAGUCUAAGUUUUAUCAAGUUAGUAAGUCUGAAGUAGAGAACUAUAAGAUUCUUUGUAAGUUGGCUUCAUCUGAGUUUCAAAGGUUAGUUGUAUCUUCAUUUUUUCUAAUUUUUGUUUGUUUUGGAUGUCUUAUAUUCUUGUUAAAAAAUUUUGUGUUUCAAUCGUGGCAGUCUCUUUGUCUGGUGUUCGCUGUACCUUUUGGUCUCUUGGUGAAUCUUUAAAACCUGGUGGUUUUGUCAAUACUUUUGUUGUAUCUUGUUUCUGCUACAGCUUGUUUUCAAAGCCCAAUGGUCAUCCAGAUUUCUCUAAAAGGCAUUAUUUCUUCUCAAACAUUGGUGUAAGUUUUCUUCUAUUUUUAUGUAUAAAAUUAGAUGAUGUUUCAUUUUUUUAAUUAUUGGUUUUUAUUUUUGAAAUUUUAUUAGGAUAAUAUGCUAUUGGAUUAUGAUAAAGCUGACCAGGAGUUAUUGCAGCGGUCUUUUAGAAGGUCUGCCAAGGCUAGACCAUUACAUCAAUCUAAUAUGGUAAUACUAUUUUUGUGAUUUUCUAUGCCCCCUAUUUAUAUCUCUAUUAUGUCAAUUUGAUUCUGUUUAUAUUUUUUCUAGCUUUUCUUCCCUAUAUUGCAUGAGAAGCAUUGGUUUGUUUUUAUGGUUGACAUUAAGGAUCGCCAUUUUGUAUUUCUUGAUUCACUGUAUAGUCGCAAUUCUGAGUUCCAUCAAGAUAUUGACGCAAGGCUUGUAUGUUCUUUCCUUUUUCCCCUUUUAGUUUGCUUUUGAUUAUUAUUGUAGUGUUUUAAUAUUUUUUAUGCGUGAGUGCAGAUAAACUCUUUUCAGUAUCAUUGGAAUAAAUUUGUUCAAGUUGAGAUGGAUUUCAAUUUUUAUGGUCUUGAAUACCCUCUUGUUCCUGAGCAGCCUUUUGAUAAUUCGUAAGUAUAUGUCUUGCUCAUUUUUAUGAUUUAGUGCUUAUUAUAUGUAGUUUUCAUUCUUGUUUUUUGGUGUGCAGCUCUGAUUCUGGAAUUUAUGCUAUGAUGUUCCUUGAGUACUGGACGUCUCCUAGGGUUCUUCUAGGGAAUAUGUUUAGUCAAGAAGACAUUCCAUCCAUCAGAGUUAAGAUUGCAAAUGAGCUAUUUUUCCAUCACAAGAACACUGGGAUGAAACAUCGUGUGUUAGAUUUCAAACUUCAGGUAUCUAUUCAAAAUUUUCAAUUUUAAAAUCUUGUUCUUUCUAUGUUUAUAUUUCAGUUCAAAACUAACCCCCUCUCCCUGCCUCUUCUUUAUUGAUAGGAGUAGAUUGUUCUGGUGUUUGAUGAUGGAGUCUUCAGUUUGAAUGGAUCCCUUUUUUUCAUCGUCUUUGUAAUUUUUUGGCAGUUGCAUCUGCCUUACAAAAUCUCUUUACAUACUGAGUUGUACUGAAAGCUUUUUUGUCCAUGUCAAAAUAUUGCAUAUGUUUACAUAAUAAUAGAGGUUACAUGAUAAUGGCUCUUUUGUAAUAUAAAUGUAUCCUAUUCUAUGUCCUCAAAUAUGCUUGUAAUCACUUUUUUUGAUCUUGGUCUUCUUCGUUCUUCUGCAUUGUCUUAUCCUGCCUUCUUCUGCUUCUUCUUGCUCUUUGUUGUUGGGCCUGUAUAUUAUAAAUUAUUUAGUAAUAUGUUUUCUUAAUAUUUCACAAUUUGCUUAUUAAGUUUAGAUAAAAUUCUUGGUUGUGAUAUCUUACUUGAGUUUGUUGCCUUCUUCUUCUUUUUAGCUUCUGCUGCUGCCAUCUUUUCUCUUAUUUCUUCUACUAUUGCUUGCAGUCUUUUAGGUUUCUUUGGUCGCCCCUUUUGCUUUAUCCUUGCAGGAUCUUGUAGUUGUAGACUUUCUUCAGUAAUUAUUGAUGAUGUUGCUUGUACACCAUCAACAUUUUGGUCUUCAUCAUUUAUGGAAUCAUCAUCUUCUUGUAGUGCUUUUGCAAUUAGGUCCAUCUCUUUAUCAAUACUGUCAAAUUCUUCAUCUAGGUAACUCAUCAUUUCUUCACUCUUUGAUCCUUUAGAUGUGAGCACUGCUGCUUUCCUACACAAGACAUUGAAUCUAAGCAGUUCCUUUGUUGCAGGUGUGUCUUCUGCUUGUCUUGUCAUGUUUUUAGAGUCCUUCUUCCUCCAUCUGUCAAAAAAGUAUUUUUCAGGUAUCUCAUCUAUUUCUUCUUCUACUAUGACUUUGAGUAUGUGGCUACAUAGUAUUCCAUCCUUGCUGAAUUGUUCACAAAUGCAAUUGAAUUCCUCUUUUCCUUUGGUUAGAUCUGUUAGCACUACAUAUUUCCUGUUAUUUUGUACCUGUUGAAGUCUGUUUGAUUUGUGCCAUACUUCAAAACAUUUUCCUUCUUCUAUUUCUUUGUAUUUUAGCCUCUCUGUCAUUUUGAGCUGGUACUGAAACUUUAGGAAUAUAUUCCUGUUAUAACGUUCAACUGCUUGUAACUCUAUCUUAUAUCCGGUUUGUAGUUCUUUAGGUCUCUUUUGUUUGCUUUGAUUAUCUUCAGUACUCUCCAUUAUCUUGAUUCUGUCAAUUAUCCUUUGGUACUCUUUCAUGAAGCUGAGUAUGUUGUAUGUAGGUCCAACGUUGUCUUUGAUUCUAGCAUUCGUCUGCUCACUUCUUCCAGUGCUUUGUAGAAAUGGAUAGAAGUUUUCUUUGAAAUAUACUGGUAUGAACUUGUUCCUGGUUUCCCACAUUUUCUUGAAAUACUUAUUCUCUUCUAGCUUGUAAUCUGCAAUCAUCUUCUGCCAUAGGUGUUCAAAUUCUUCUUCUGUCAUUGAGUUGUUCACUAUGUCUUCAAAUGUCUCUACUAAGCCUUUGUUCACUGCAAAGCACUUCCCAUUUUUGUUAUAGCAUUUAGACUUUAUAUGAAACAAACAAUUUCUGUGUAUUGUUUGUGGCAUUAUUGCUUCUAUGGCUACUCUCAUAGCUUGAUCUUGGUCUGUAAUUAUGGUCUUUGGAUGUUUUCCUCCCAUAGAUUCUAGGAAUGUCUCAAAUAGCCAUUUGAAUGUCUGUGUGGUUUCAUCAGAUAUGAAUGCACAUCCAAAUAUAAUUGUAUGACCAUGACCUGAUACCCCAAUUACAGGUGCAAAUGGAAGGUUAUAUCUAUUUGUCAUGUAGGUUGUAUCAAAACUUAGGCAGUCCCCAUACUCUGCAUACCAUUUGAGUGAUAUGCCUUCUCUCCAGUAGAUGUUCUUCACUUUUGAAAGUGCAUUUGCCCCCUACGUGGGUUUUGGUGUAUUGAUGACAUCCAAUUUAGGGACUAAUGCGUUGUAUUUGAGAUUUGCUACAGCUACUAGUCUCAUGAAAGAUGCAAAGGUUCAACUUUAGAUGAAAUGGUAUCCCCCAAUCUUCGUUCGUGAGAAAGGCGUUGGAUUCAAUCUAGAGCUUAUUCGUUUUUAUUUUAACUUGGGGAUAGGUAUGCCGUACAAUCAAGAGGGAUUCAAAUGUUGUUGGUUUGGGGAAGAUAAAGUGCUCAAGUCUUUCAACUAAAUCGUUUUAGAGACACUCUAGCACCUCUCUUGUGCUUAGGAUUAACUUAUGUGACUUCUGGUGUCGGAAGUCCCGACGCGGGUCGGAACUCCCGACGUGCUGCGCGAGAACUGUGAGCGUCGGAAGUCCCGACGUUGAGUUCUGCGCGCGCACGCGUCGGAAGUCCCGACAAGCGUCGGAAGUCCCGACGCCAGGCCUGUCUCGCUCAAGCGCCAGCAGUUCCGGCCAGUGUCAGCAGUGCUGACCCGUCGGAAGUUCCGACGCAUGUCGGAAGUUCCGACACUGACUUCUUGCGCUGACCGCGGCUGCCUGCUCAACAGCUUUUCCCAGUGAGUGUUGGAAGUCCCGACACUAUGUCGGAACUUCCGACAUAGAUCUGAGCUGACUUUUCUCCCAGUAGUAUAAGUAGCUCCCUCUGGUUUUCUAACCGUUACACACUCAUUCUUUGCGACCAACCUUCAGGCAAAACAGCUCCCAAGCUUUCAAGACUCCCCUCCUCUCCUCCUCUUUGCUCCCAACUUCGAUUCAGCUUAGACUUGGAGUGAUUGGAGAGUGGUUAAGUGAGAGCAACGCCUUGAGAAGCUUGAGCACUUGAUCUCUUCGUCAAGCCAGCAGGUUUUGAGUUUAUUACUCUUGGGUUCUUGGAACCCUAGCCGGCUAGGCGUCGUCCAAGAGCUUCCAUCUUGUGGAAGAGCCUUGGAAAGUUUGUAUUACCCUGUUCUUCUUAGUGGAAAGCUCAAGUGAACUUUGUGGUUACUUUGAGGGAGGCAAGGAGGUGAAAGAGACUCCGACCUUAGUGGUCACCUCAACAACGAGGACGUAGGAACUCCUAAGUGGGGUAGCCGAACCUCGGGUUAAAUCCUUGUGUCUCUUGUGGUUGCUUUUCUUAAGUUCUACUCGUAUUACUUGUAUUUGCUUGUGCCUCUACCUCCUUUUAGGGUUUGGUCUCGAUCUACGGUUUGAGGAACUCUUGGUGUCAAGGAAGGCUCUCAACAUCCUCCUCUAACCACUAGAGAGUGGUGUUGUAAGUUGUGGAUCUCACAAAGUUCAUAUAAGCACUUGUAGUUCAUUUCCCGUAGGUGUCGGAACUGCUGACAGUUUGCGUUGGAACUUCUGACAACGUCGAAAGUUCUGACCCAAACUGUCGGGACUUCCGACAGUUGCUGACAAGUGACUUUGAGUUUUGUGUAGAAUUUUUUAGAUACGCCUAUUCACCCCCCUCUAGGCAUUGUUUAGAUCCUUUCAAUUGGUAUCAGAGCAAGGUCUUCUUUUAGCACUUUACCGUGUGAGAAGAAACAAUGUCAGAAACCGAAAAGACACAAAAAUUGGCUAAGGAAAUAGCCAAAGAACUGUUGGCAGCUCAAUCAAAGCUUUUUCAAGAUGAAAUGAAGAAAAUGCAAGAUGAGAUGACAAAGUUAAAAGAAGAGCUGAGCAAGAAAGUUGAAGAUGCAAUAGGUAGUAGAAAAUCUGAUGAGGGACCUAGUGGACACAAAGACAAUGAUAAUGAAAGUGAAGUUGGAGGUAAAGAAGAAGGUCACUCAAAAGGAGUCUACUCCAACAUGAACUUUGAUUAUUCUCAGCUUAUCAAGGCUUCACAUCAUGCCCCAUCUAUCAACCUAGGGAAACCUCCUCACUUUGAUGGAACUAGAUAUCCUGAUUGGGCCUACAAAAUGAAGAUGCACCUCAUUGCUGCAAAUCUUUGGGAAGUGGUAGAUGUUGGUGUAACAUUUCCCACUGAAGAUAGAGAGAUCACUCCGGAGGAAGCUCACAUCUUUCGUCAAAAUGCACAAGCUGUGGCUAUUUUAGUUUCAAGUUUGGCUCCAGAUGAAUUCAACAAAGUGAAUGGAAGAGAAGUUGCCAAGGAUAUUUGGGAAGUGUUGAAAACAACAUUUGAAGGUGACAAGAGUGUGAGAAAGGGUAACAUUGAGUUACUUCAUGGUGAGUUGGAAAGAUUUGUUUUCCUAGAAGGUGAAUCCACUCAAGCUAUGUUUGAUAGGAUGAUGUCUUUGGUCAACCGGAUAAGAUCUAUUGGAAGCACUGAAUGGGAUGAAAACAAGGUUGCAAGAAAGAUCUUAAGAACCUAUAGAGCAAAGAACAACAUGCUAGCGUCAGUGAUUAUGGAAAGGCCCGACUAUGAUUGCAUGACACCUCAAGAAGUUCUAGCCAAGCUCAAGCAUCAUGAGUGCCUUGAUCAAGAUGCCAUCAAUGCACAUAGUCAAAAUCCUAGUGCAAUGGGAUAUAACAAGAAUGUAGCUCUAAAGGUAGAGCAAGGACAUGAACAUCACUAGUCAUGUCAAGAAAAGAAGAAAGUGAAGGAUGACUCAUCAAGUGGUGAAGAAGAUUCUGACCAAGAAGUUGCUUUCAUCAUUAGAAAUCUCAGAAAGUUUAUGAAGAAGAAGGGUCAUCAAAAGAAGAAGAGGUUUUGCUAUGGAUGUGGACAAACCAGUCACUUCAUAGCUGAGUGCCCAAAUAUGAAAGACAAGAACAAGUACAACAAGAAUAAUGACAAGAAGUACAAAGGAAAGAAAAAGGGUGAAGCUCAUCUUGGUGAAGAAUGGAUAUCCAAUGAUAGUGACUCAAGUGAUGAAGAGAAGAAGAAGAAGAAAGGAGCUGCAAACAUUGCCAUUCACAAAUCCUCAUCAUCAGUCAUGAACCUCCCAAAGGCUUCACCACCAAAGCUCUUCCCCAACUUGGAUUCUACACCAAGCCUCUUCGCCAACCUCAACGACGAUGACUACUACACUCCAACUUGCCUUAUGGCUAAGGGGGAGAAGGUAACUACCUCAUCCGAAACCUCUAGUGAUGAAUAUGAUAGUCAUGAUGAAAACAUAGAACAACUUGAGGCAUCCUUGAUAAAGAAAUUUGGUCAUAAGGCCUUCACUAAAAUAAAAAGUCUAAUGAAGAAAUUAGAGAAGAGGGAUAGAUGCUUAGAGAUGCAGGGUGAUAUAAUUGUGCAAGAAAAGGAAAAGAACCUAGCACUUGAAGCAUCUAUCGCCGAGGAAAAGACGAAGGUUGAAAAGUUGACCGUUGAAUUGUCUUUAGCCAAUGACUCAAUUGGGAAAUUGACUAAGGAACAUUCCUCGUUUGAUGAUCAAGUAACUAGCCUUAAAAAUGAGAAUAGUAUAGCUCAAGAAAGCCUCACAAGCUUUAAGGAAAAAUACCGAAUUCUUGAGUUAAACUAUAACACUCUUUGGGCUAACACUUCGACUUCUCCUAAGGCAACCAAAGACUCUAAUGUCUCCACUAGCAACGGUUGUAAAAGAUGCUACAAAGUUGAUGUAAAUGCUUAUGCCACUAACCUUGUUGAGCUAGAGAAAAAGGACAAGGAAAUCAAUAGGUUAAAGAUGGAAAUUAAGAAGGGGUGUAAAUGCCAAGAGCAAUCUAAAAAGACUAUAUACAAGGCAUUUAGGCACCCAUCCAUCAAGGAAGGACUUGGCUUUAAUAGGUAUGAUGGAAAGGCCAAUGGAAGAAACAUUGUGAACGGAGUACCUUGUGUAAAGUUCAACAAAGGUGUUGCCCUUGAUGAGCUUAUCUGCAAGGCAAACAACAAGGUUUAUCUUCCGUUAAUUCAACCUACAAGCAACAAGGAAAGCAAGAUAAAGCCAUCCGAAGCUCCCAAGCCACAAGCACCACUUCCACGGUGCUAUGCUAGUGACUAUAUGUGUUGUUGGGGCAAAGAUGGCAAGAUCGUGGUAAAGUAUGUUGGUGCCCACAAGAGGAAGGAAAUAUUGAGGAGUGUUUGGGUGCCAAAACUUUAUGUGACUAACCCGCUAGGACCCAAAUCUAUUUGGGUACCUAAAACACAAGUUUGAUUUGUCUUUGUAGGAAUACUCCUCCGGUGGAACAAGUUGGGUGUUGGAUAGUGGAUGCACUAAUCAUAUGACCGGAGAGAAGGAUAUGUUCACAUCAUUCCAACCUAGUGGUGAACAAAGUGGAAACAUUGUAUUUGGUGACAAUGGAAAAGGAGAGGUACUUGGUUUGGGUAAAAUUGCUAUCUCAAAUGAUAACUCCAUUUCAAAUGUCUUACUUGUAAAUUCGUUGAGUUACAAUUUGUUGUCCGUCUCGCAACUUUGUGAAAUGGGUUACAAUUGUCUCUUUACGGAUAAGGGUGUGGAAGUCUAUAGAAGGGAGGAUUCCUCUAUUGCAUUUACGGGUCACCUAAAAGGGAAACUCUAUCUAGUUGACUUCACAUCAAAUAGAGUAAAGCCCGAGACUUGUUUAAUGGCAAAAUCUAGCAUGGGGUGGUUAUGGCAUCGCCGACUUGCCCAUGUUGGGAUGAGGAACUUGGCCAAACUUCAAAAAGGCGAACACAUCCUUGGACUAACAAAUGUUUCUUUUGAGAAAAACAGGAUUUGUAGUGCAUGCCAAGCGGGAAAGCAAGUAGGAGCUAAGCAUCCCGCAAAGAACAUCGUGACAACCGAAAGGCCCUUGGAGCUGCUACACAUGGACAUAUUUGGACCCGUGGCUUACAUAAGCAUUGGUGGUAACAAAUAUGGUUUUGUGAUUGUUGAUGAUUAUUCACGUUACACUUGGGUUUUCUUUUUGCGUGAUAAAAGUGAGGUCCAAGGCAUUUUCAAGAAGUUUGCAAGAAGAGCUCAAAAUGAGUUUGAUGUCAAGAUCAAGAAAGUUAGAAGUGACAAUGGGACGGAGUUCAAGAAUACCAACAUCGAAGAGUACCUUGAUGAAGAAGGAAUCAAGCAUGAGUUUUCGGUUCCGUACACUCCUCAACAAAAUGGUGUUGUGGAGAGAAAGAACCGGACACUCAUAGAAGCUGCAAGAGCAAUGUUGGAUGAAUACAAGACUCCGGUGAACUUUUGGGCGGAAGCGGUUCCCACGGCGUGUCAUGCUAUCAACCGCUUGUAUCUUCACAAGAAAAGAGAAAAGACCGCCUAUGAACUUCUAACUGGUAAAAAACCCAAGGUGCACUACUUUAGAGUUUUUGGAUCCAAGUGUUUUAUACUUAACAAAAAGUCCAAAAGCUCAAAGUUUGCACCUAAGGUUGAUGAAGGUUUAAUGCUUGGUUAUGGUACUAACGAACAUGGAUAUCGUGUUUUCAAUAAAACCUCCGGUUUGAUUGAAAUCGCGGUAGACGUGACCUUUGAUGAAACCGACGGUUCUCAAAAGGAGCAAGUCAAUGUUGAGAUUGUAGGUAAUGAAGCAGCUGCACAAGAAGCUAUCAAGAAGCUAGCAAUUGGUGAAAUAAAGCCCAUUGAAGAUGAUGAUGAAGAAAGUGCAGUGCAUGUUGAUCAUGAUUCCACCAUUCAUCAUGGCUCAUCAAAUGAGCAUGGUGAGGCUUCCGCUUCAAGAAUCAAUGAAGAUUGUGGCAACGACGUGCAAGCCCAACCUCAUCUUAAUGUUGACCACACAAGUGAAGACAAUCCUCCACAAGAUCAUAGUCUUGGUAUUCCAAUAGAUCAUGGCUAUGAUGAAGAAAAUGAUGGCCCCAUUCAAAGAUCAACUCAAGUGCCACAUCCUAGAGUACAUCAAUCAAUUCAGCGGGAUCAUCCCGUUGAUAACAUUUUGGGAAGCAUUCGACGAGGGGUAACGACACGUUCUCGUUUAGCAAGUUUUUGUGAAUAUUACUCGUUUGUUUCUCCUUUGGAACCUCGUAGGGUGGAAGAAGCACUUGAUGAUGAAGAUUGGAUGAUGGCCAUGCAAGAAGAGUUGAACAACUUUACACGGAAUGAAGUCUGGUCCUUGGUGGAAAGGCCCAACCAAAAUGUGAUUGGAACCAAAUGGGUCUUCCGCAACAAGCAAGAUGAGCAUGGCGUGGUGACAAGGAACAAGGCAAGAUUGGUGGCUCAAGGUUUUACUCAAAUAGAAGGCUUGGAUUUUGGGGAGACCUACGCAUCGGUGGCAAGGCUAGAAUCCAUUCGUAUUCUACUAGCCUAUGCUACCCAUCAUGAUUUCAAGCUAUAUCAAAUGGACGUGAAGAGUGCGUUUCUCAAUGGCCCCCUAUCCGAGUUGGUGUAUGUUGAGCAACCACCGGGCUUUGAAGAUCCCAAGUUUCCAAACCACGUCUACAAGCUCGACAAAGCACUCUAUGGGCUUAAACAAGCCCCUAGAGCUUGGUAUGAUUGCUUAAAGGACUUCCUACUCAAACAAGGGUUUGAGAUAGGAAAGGCCGAUGCUACCUUGUUUACUCGCAAAGUCAAUAAUGAUAUUUUUGUGUGCCAAAUAUAUGUCGAUGACAUAAUAUUUGGUAGUACUAAUGAAGAUUUUUGUGAGGAAUUUAGUAGGAUUAUGACGAACAGGUUUGAGAUGUCUAUGAUGGGUGAGUUGAAGUUCUUUCUUGGAUUUCAAAUCAAGCAACUCAAAGAUGGCACGUUCAUAAGUCAAACAAAGUACACCUACGAUAUGCUAAAGAAGUUCGACAUGGACAAAGCCAAACCCAUCAAAACACCGAUGCCAACAAGUGGGCAUCUUGACCUUGAUCAAGGAGGAAAGGACGUCGAUCAAAAGGUAUAUCGCUCCAUGAUUGGAUCCCUCCUCUACCUUUGUGCAUCUAGGCCCGAUAUUAUGCUUAGUGUGUGCAUGUGUGCAAGAUUUCAAGCUAGUCCGAAAGAAUGUCAUUUAAUGGCUGUUAAGAGAAUCUUUCGAUAUUUAGUGCACACUCCUAAUCUUGGCUUGUGGUAUCCCAAGGGCUCCACUUUCGAGUUACUUGGCUACUCCGAUUCGGAUUAUGCCGGUUGCAAAGUAAGUCGAAAGAGUACCACCGGGACUUGCCAAUUUAUUGGUAGGUCUUUGGUAUCUUGGAGCUCUAAGAAGCAGAACUCCGUUGCUUUGUCCACCGCUGAGGCCGAGUAUGUGGCGGUCGGUGCAUGCUGUGCCCAACUACUUUGGAUGAAGCAAACCCUCAAAGACUUCGGUUGUGAGCUAACCAAGAUUCCCCUUUUGUGUGACAACGAGAGUGCCAUUAAGUUGGCAAACAACCCUGUAAACCACUCUCGAACAAAGCACAUAGACAUCCGGCAUCACUUUUUGAGAGACCACGAAGCCAAAGGAGAUAUCGCACUUCAACAUGUGAGCACCGAUAAACAACUAGCCGAUAUCUUCACAAAGCCCCUAGAUGAGUCAAGAUUUUGUGCUUUGAGGAGUGAGCUAAAUAUCAUUGAUUCUCGUAACCUAACUUGAUGUCUUGCACAUAAUUUGAUUGAUCUAGGUAGGAGAAAACUGUUUGCAAAGUUUGUUUGGUGACUUUAAAAAUCUAAUUUGAUAUAGGUUUCAUGGAUGAUUAUAGUUAUGUAAUGCUUGUUUGUCAGCUAGUCAUCCUUGAAAUCUUUUGUUUCCAUCAUAUUUAUACCCCACUUUGCAGAGAAAGUUCAAAUUCUGAAGUUUUUGGGUCUUCCUGUGUCGGAAGUCCCGACGCUUGUCGGGAGUUCCGACGUGGUUGCGGGCUAAGCCCCCAGCCGGGAGUUCUGGCUAGCGUCGGGAGUCUCGGCCAGCGUCGGAAGUUCCGACGUGCGCCGGAAGUCCCGACGCAGAUCUCGCGCGCGGACCCGUCCCUGGCUUGACUUCUCUUUAUCCCUUGACUGGCCAGUUACCGCAGUCACUUCUUUCCCCCCCCCUCCCCGCAGUCCGUUUCUCUCCCUCCCCCCCGCGCCUCCUUCCUCCCUGCUCCGAUCCAGAUCUACCGUUUGCGCGCGUCUCGCCGACCGCCGACCUGCUUGGUCCCCUCCUCGCCGGCGCCCCGUCGUGUUGCGCCCUCGUGUCGCGCCCCCGUGCCCCCGGCGUGUGCGGUCUCCUGCCCGUGCGCGGUGUGCGCCCCAGUGCGCGGCCCGCACGGCUCGGUGUUCGUCGCGUAUCCUUCUCCUUCCCCUAAGCAAUGACUCGUGGAAGCCCCUCUCGCCAUGUUGAGAAGCGGUCCAAGACAAACCAGGACCGCUCCGCUGCCCCCCGCACCAAGGCCGUUCUCCCUCGGGCUGGUCCUGGUGGCUCUCGUCGUGCCGCUGCCCGUGCCUCUGGGCAGGGCCCCUCAGCUCCGGUGGCAGCGACUCCUCCGUCCUCGCAUCGGGCUCCUGAUCCCACCGGGCACGACACCGAGGUCGACCCUGCCGAAGAGGAGCUUGAGCGUGCUGGGCGGACUAUUUCCGCUCAAGUGCGCUCCCCGUAUGAUGGACCGGAGUGUCCCAUCUCCGCUCUGGUCUCUUUCGACUCUCCGGCCCCCAUUGUGCGGUGCCCCGAGAUCGCUCCCAACAUGGGUGGUUGGGAUCCUCCUCGUCCGAUUGAUUUCCGCCACAACGUCCGCGACAUCAGGUCAUUCCGGAGCCGCAACCUUUAUGCUGAAGAUGAGAAGGAUCUCCGCCUUGAGUAUCGCUUUUGGCACUACUUUCAUUUCUACUAUUAUGAUUCUAUUCUUUAUCGCAAGUCUCUUAAGAAAGGGAAGCCUCCAGUUAUUCAAAUGAAGUAUAUCAUUGAGUACUCUCUUACCUCCACCUUCAAAGAUCAAGAGAUUCGGCAAAUGGUGGAAGACUUGCGCAACAUGGGUAUCUCGGGAUUGAUGGAGCUUCACAGGCAUUGGAACAAUGAGGUGAUUAUGCAGUUUUAUGCUUCAUAUUUUCAUGAGACUGACAGCGAGAGUGACACUGAUGUGAUUCACUGGACCACUGAGGGUCGUCACUACAAGGUGGAUUUUGUCACCUUUGCUCGUCUGCUUGGUUUCAAUGGGCAUGAUCGCCGUGCAGCAGAGAUCACUGAUUAUGAGGAUGUGGCUAUGUCUGAGUACCAGUUUAUGUAUUUGGAGGGCUUUCCUGCUGAUGGACAGACUGUUUAUCUGAAGCCCUAUUACUAUGUGCUCAACAACAUUCUCAGGCAGGUGUUGUACCCCAAGGAAGGAGACUCCACUUUUCUUAGGGAUGAUUCUCAGAAGGUCCUAGCUCGUUUUGGAGAUGAUUUCCAGAAGUUCUCCGUCAGUCGGUACAUCUGGAACAGGAUACAUGAUGCUUCUGAGGAUCCGGUCAAGAACCUUCCAUAUGCUCCUUAUAUCAUGCAUGUCAUUCAGCAAGUCUCAGGCAUUCGCUUCCCUACUGAUGGCUCAAAUCACAAAGUGCUGAGAUUGGCAAAUCGGGUCUCCGUUCAAGCAGCUAGGGCUUUGAAGGCUCGUGGUGCAGUUCCUCCUCCUCGCCAUGGUGGUCCUUCCUCUGCUCGUUCCCGUCGUGCUGCUCCUUCGCCUCCUGCUGUCUCUCGCUCCACCAGUUCGCAGCCGCUCACCUCAUCUGGCAAAGGCAAGAAGCCCAGCAAGUUCAAGUUUCUCAUGACAUAUAUGUUUGGACAGUGUUGUGCUAGUGCUCAGAGGGAGCAUGAUAUUCAGGAGAGGCUCUAUCGUCUUGAGCAGCAGGCUGGUGUUGUCUCUUCGCCUCCUUCGCCGUUUGUGCCUCCCCGUGAUCCUCUUGUUCUUUAUGAUGAGGCUUGCCAAGCUUAUCAGGAUGAGGCCACUUCUCGCCCUCAUGGCAAAGGUGUAGCUGCCCCUGAGGAUGAGGAGUACCAUGAAGAAGAACCUGAUGAUGAUGAUGAUGACGACGACGAUGAUGAUGAGGAUGGUGACGAUGAGGACUUUGACAUUGAGUAGCUGUUUCUUCUCUAACGCGGCCUACCCCUUUUGGCACUUGUUGACAAAGGGGGAGUGUUAGGCUUUGAUCUUUCAUGUAAUAAGCUAGAUGUCGUGGUUGGUAGACUUAAAAACUUUCUAGUUUGAAUUAUCUAUGUCUCGUGGUGGCACUAUGUGAUGGACACCUUUAUAUUUGUUAUGUGAGUUGGAUGAGUGUAGGACAAGUUGUUAAUAUUUUAUCUAUCUACUUUGUUUACUUGUCCUUGUCUCUUUUGUUUGAUUGUUGAUUGAGUUUUUGUGAUGGCCAUGAACUUAAGGUCUAUCUUGGCUUUUUGGCCAUCCUUUUCUCUCCACUUUGUUGUGUGAAUAUAAACUGUCAUAUUGCAUGCUCUUUCACGGUUACACUUUUAUUCACACUUGUUGCACCCCACGGAGUGCAAAAUUUAGGGGGAGCUUGUUCUUUGAUGUAUGUUUCUUACGUGAUGACAAUCACCAUUGAAAUUCAAAUUCAUGCAUACAUCAAGGGGGAGCUCGCUGUAAAUUUUGGACUUCAAAAGCUUUUUGAUUAUCUUUUGUAAGCCUAAACUUGGUUGUCAUCAAGCACCAAAAAGGGGGAGAUUGAAAGUGCAUUUGCCCCCUACGUGGGUUUUGGUGUAUUGAUGACAUCCAAUUUAGGGACUAAUGCGUUGUAUUUGAGAUUUGCUACAGCUACUAGUCUCAUGAAAGAUGCAAAGGUUCAACUUUAGAUGAAAUGGUAUCCCUCAAUCUUCGUUCAUGAGAAAGGCGUUGGAUUCAAUCUAGAGCUUAUUCGUUUUUAUUUUAACUUGGGGAUAGGUAUGCCGUACUAUCAAGAGGGAUUCAAAGGUUGUUGGUUUGGGGAAGAUAAAGUGCUCAAGUCUUUCAACUAAAUCGUUUUAGAGACACUCUAGCACCUCUCUUGUGCUUAGGAUUAACUUCUGUGACUUCUGGUGUCGGAAGUCCCGACGCGGGUCGGAACUCCCGACGUGCUGCGCGAGAACUGUGAGCGUCGGAAGUCCCGACGUGAGUCGGAAGUCCCGACGUUGAGUUCUGCGCGCGCACGCGUCGGAAGUCCCGACAAGUGUCGGAAGUCCCGACGCCAGGCCUGUCUCGCUCAAGCGCCAGUAGUUCCGGCCAGUGUCAGCAGUGCUGACCCGUCGGAAGUUCCGACGCAUGUCGGAAGUUCCGACACUGACUUCCUGCGCUGACCGCGGCUGCCUGCUCAACAGCUUUUCCCAGUGAGUGUCGGAAGUCCCGACACUAUGUCGGAACUUCUGACAUAGAUCUGAGCUGACUUUUCUCCCAGUAGUAUAAGUAGCUCCCUCUGGUUUUCUAACCGUUACACACUCAUUCUUUGCGACCAACCUUCAGGCAAAACAGCUCCCAAGCUUUCAAGACUCCCCUCCUCUCCUCCUCUUUGCUCCCAACUUCGAUUCAGCUUAGACUUGGAGUGAUUGGAGAGUGGUUAAGUGAGAGCAACGCCUUGAGAAGCUUGAGCACUUGAUCUCUUCGUCAAGCCGGCAGGUUUUGAGUUUAUUACUCUUGGGUUCUUGGAACCCUAGCCGGCUAGGCGUCGUCCAAGAGCUUCCAUCUUGUGGAAGAGCCUUGGAAAGUUUGUAUUACCCUGUUCUUCUUAGUGGAAAGCUCAAGUGAACUUUGUGGUUACUUUGAGGGAGGCAAGGAGGUGAAAGAGACUCCGACCUUAGUGGUCACCUCAACAACGAGGACGUAGGAACUCCUAAGUGGGGUAGCCGAACCUCGGGUUAAAUCCUUGUGUCUCUUGUGGUUGCUUUUCUUAAGUUCUACUCGUAUUACUUGUAUUUGCUUGUGCCUCUACCUCCUUUUAGGGUUUGGUCUCGAUCUACGGUUUGAGGAACUCUUGGUGUCAAGGAAGGCUCUCAACAUCCUCCUCUAACCACUAGAGAGUGGUGUUGUAAGUUGUGGAUCUCACAAAGUUCAUAUAAGCACUUGUAGUUCAUUUCCCGUAGGUGUCGGAACUGCUGACAGUUUGCGUUGGAACUUCUGACAACGUCGGAAGUUCUGACCCAAACUGUCGGGACUUCCGACAGUUGCUGACAAGUGACUUUGAGUUUUGUGUAGAAUUUUUUAGAUACGCCUAUUCACCCCCCCCCUCUAGGCAUUGUUUAGAUCCUUUCAACUUUGUUCUCUUCAUCUACAAGAAAUUUGUAGAAGAAUGUUUGAUCUUCUGCUGCCCUCUUCAGAAAGUAUUGCAUUACUGUGUUCAUGUCAUUUCCUUUGAUCUCUCUAUUUAUCUUUGUUCUCUCAUUUUGCACGUGCUUUGUUUUAUAUGGCAGGGCUGUUACAUUGCCUCUGAGAUAUGAGAGGAUUGCAAUCAUAUUUCUUGUUGGUAUAUUAUUUCCAUUCAAUGUCCUUAUCAUUGCCUUCUCCAUAUCUGUCAUAUAUUUCCUACCGCUGAAAAGUUGAUUCCUGUUGUCUGGACUGAGCUCAUGAUUGUGAUCUAAGUCUAGCCUUACUACUUUCCAUUUUCCAUUUUCUUCUUUCACUUCCAUUAGCACUAGGCAGUUUGAUUUCACUUGGAUAUUAGUCUUCCUUUUUGGCCCUUUGCCUUUUGCUUGAUGUAUCAUCAUAUCAUGUUCCUCUUCUUCUGGUGUCUUCUUCUUUGAUUCUUUUCCAUAUCGAUGGCAUCUCAUUUCCUGCUUGUAUAUCUCAUUAUUCCUCUUUUUGCUUGUUGUUCUUGUUGUAUGAGUAACAACAACCUCAAAUCCUGCUAUGAAGCCAUAGAAGCUAAAGAAAUGGUGCGCAUCUUCUCUGGUGUUGAACAGCAUUCCAAUCUGUGGUGUGUACUUACUGUUAGUAUAUGCAUUGUUGCCAUCGGCUAUUGCUUCCUGUUCUUUCCUGAGGAAUUCUUCAAUUUCUUCUUCUGUAAGUUCCUGGCUUCCAUUUGUCUCAUCAUAUUCUUUCAUGUUUUGAUCUGAUUGUUGGGCAAAUGAAACAUCUAACGAAUUCCAUAUAUCUGUUAUCUCAUUUUCAGAGGUAGUUGUUCCUGACCCUGCAAUUGUGUUGCUCUCUGUAUUCAUAUAUCUGGAAUCAACCUACAUUUUCAAUUUUGUAAGGUUAGUAUUUUAUUCAUUCUAGUGUGGAUUUUCUUGUGUAAAUGUGCAUACCUCUUGUACUUGCAUUGAGUUGAAUAUGUCUGUUCCAUUAAUGUCGUCAUCUUAAAAGUCUUCAGUUGAUAUGUAGUCCUGUUGAUGAUCCUGCUUCAAGAAAUACAUUUUUAUGUAUUAGUUCAAAGUAUUAUUUACUUUUUUAAUUUAUGUUGUCAUAUUUGCACUUACAUCAUAAUCUCUUGAGAAACUGAAAAUUGUUCGAUUGUUGUUCUCACUAUUUGCUUCCAUUGAUGCUUGGUCAGCCUGCAUGUUAAGAUAUAUUUUUAAGUUGAUUAGCAUCCUGCUAGUUGAUUUGUUCUUCAAAUUGUAUAUAUUUAGGUAUCUCACCUCAAUUCCAGAAGUUGUUGUAUUAUGUAAUUCAUCAGUUGAUUUCCUGUUGUAUAUUUGUAUCCAAUGGGGGUCCCAGUUUUCCUGCAAAUCCAGAAUUCAGGUAUCUAUCAGCAAAACAUGAAGUAAAGAUGUAUUGUUGUACCCUUAUGAAUAUGCAUUUACACCUGUACUGUGUCUCUGAUUAUCUGUUCUUCCUGAGAAGAAGACCAAGUUUGUUGCAUCAGUAGUGUUGUUAGUGGUCCCUGCAUAAUAGAUUAGUUUUAGAAUUUUUGAUAAAUAGUUUUUUUUGUUUUUUUUCUUUUCUUAAGCAAACCUGGUAGUUUAGCAGUUGUGCAGCUUGUGAUUCAAAAUCUUCAUUGUCCUCCAUUGUUUGAUUCUCCACUUGAGUAUUUGUUGACAGUGAAUAUAACCAUGGUCCUGGUAUCUGUUCUUUGCAUUAUAUGAAAAUUAUGAAAAAAUUUAAUAAGUCUCUUCUCAAGUAUUCUGUACAAAUAUAAUAAUUUUUAUUCUAAUUUAUACCUUGUUAUCCGUUGAUUUGUCUUUUGUUUUUGGGUUGUUCCGCACAUCUUUUUGUUCCUGCAUUUCAAAGAUAUUCAGUCACAUAGCAACUUCACUAUACACAACAAGAAUUCAAUUGACCAAUCUAUUUUCAGAUUAUUGAGAUCACCAAGGUCCAGUACUAAUCAGAGCACAUCAACAUGUCAACAUUGUUGUAUGUUUUAUUCUCAAAGUAAUUAUGAUAUGAUUGAUUUACUUACUUGUAUAGGUUCUGGAGCAUGUUCUUUCUCUUCUGCUGACAUCUUUGUUUGCUUAAUUUCAGGGUGCUGGCUUCAUAGAUCUGAUCCCGUGUCUCCCGUGGAAGGUUCUUCUUUCUUUCUUUCGUGCUCCUCACGAUAGUUCUUUAGAUCUAAUUACUUUUUGUAUCCAGGCCCUUUAUUCUUUCCUUUUUGCAUAUACCCCCUUGUUUCUAUUUUUAUUCGUGUCUACCUGUAGGUUUCUGGACUUGUAACAUGGCCAGUUAUGUGGGCCUGUUAUGUGAUCUGGGCCUCUAACUGGGCUUCUCAUUUUGUUGAUUCCUCUCUGUCUUUGCUGGUUAUGUCAAUGUGGUCCUUUAGUUGGUGCAGUUAAUGCUGGCACUGUUUCCAUUUAAUGGACACGACUCCCCUACCUUCCUCUCUUGUAACUGUGUGCACUUAUUACUUGGUCCUCCUUUUCACCUUCCCAUUGUAACGUGUACAUCCUUGUGGCCAUUUGGACUUACCACUGACUAUUUUUUUCUAUCUCCCAUCUAUUCCUGAAGCUUUAUAGUGUCUGUCUUUUCAUUCUUCUUUGCUUCCUUGUUUUUUUCUAUUCUUCUAUAAAGUAAGUUAUCAUUUUCCUUAUUCUUAUUCCUCUUCUUUGCUUCUAAUCCUUAUAAUCUUCUAUUCAUUCUUAUUGGCUUCCCUGAAGGCUGGAUUUUAAUCUGUUUUUUAAGUAGUACUACUGUAGUUCUCUUUUUAUUUACAUCUUAGAUCUAUUCUAGUUACUCAUGUUUUUGUGGCGUAACUUUUGUCUAUUAUGACUGUAAUUGUAUUAUUAUUUUAUUUAUUUGUACUUUUUUGUCCUAUGCAUAGAUUUCAUACAUGUACUGUAUAUAAUUUUUUAGUCAUUGGGUGAGAUAUUGAACAAAGUUUUUGCAAGGAGGAACUUUUUAGUAUGUGAUGUACUUCUCUACUCCUCUAUUUUGUAAAUACUUUCUUUCUGCUUCUAUGUAUAUUUCUGUAUUUAUAGUAUAUUUUAUAUUCACUUACUAUUGUCGAUUAGGUGAAAUUUAUAGGUAUCACUACUAUAACUAGUUCUUUGUUUAAAAAGUUACCUUGGCUUGGCAAGGAUUUUGUUUUUCAUUGAACAACUAUAGUUGUUCAUUAGUUCCUGUAGACUUCAACGUCACUUAUAGUUGUUCAUUAGUUGUAAUUGGUAUUCAUUUUUAAUGUAACUAUUUCUUAUUUACAUGACUAUUUCUAAUUUUAUAUAUUCUAAAUGGUUGCUGUUAAUAAACUUGUAGGCUGUUGAAUGGCUUGAUUAUGCCCACACUUUCUUUGAUGCUCUGAAUUUGAAAAUGCCUACUCAUUUGUUGAUGGAUUCUUGGCCUUCUGGACAUUUUUUGUUGUGAUGGCUUCACAAUUGCGAACUUUGUAGUUUGGUCAAAUCUUGCUGGUAAGCUAUUUGUUUGUUCAACAUUCUUAUUUCAUUAUGGCUCUAGCCAGCUAGGUUUUGUAAUAUUUAGCUUGCUGCAUCAUUUACCUUGAGCUAUUGUCAUAGCUAGCUGGAUAGUUAUAGCGUAGUUCAACUUCAUUUACAAUUGUUCUUCAGGUGUAAUUUAUAUGUACUAUUUUUGUAAGUAGUACUAAGUGUUAAAAGUUCAUUACUUGUCUAUUACUAAGUUGAGUCUUUAACAUAAUGCCAUCAUAUUUAUUUUGAUUUAGCUAUGUAUAUUGCAAAUUUUAGUUUUUUUCUAUGUUGGGUGCAGUAAAUCAUAAACAAAAUUAGUUACACUAAUAGUAGAUUUUUUUUGCAUUUUUGUUUUGUUUGGUCGUUGAAAUAGUUUCCAUUUUUUUGUGUUUUGCAAUUCAUAUAAUUUUUUUGGGUUUUUGUUUUUGUUUAUGAUUUUGUUAAUUAAUUGAUCAGAUUUGUGUCCUUCAAAUGGUUUUAAACAGUUUUCGUUUUUUGCAGUGCAUAUAAUUUUUUUUGCUUUUUGUUUAUUUGAUUUUUUCUUACUGAAAUGGACUCGUUUCAAUUCUAGUCUUUUUUUUAAAAAAAAAUCGUGCAUGUAGCUGUGUUUAUAUGGGUAUCUAGAAUUCGUGUGAUAUGAAUCUCUGUUUCACUCGAUUUUUGUUUGUUUUUGUUUUUAUGUGAUUUGGCCCUUUCUGUUACUCGUGUGAGCAAAGGCCACGAAUCACACAGUUUUUUAUUUGUCUUACAUUUGUGUGAUCUGUACCAUCAAAUUGCUUGAGUGAUCAAAAUGGUCAAAUCACUCGAGUUUCAUAUAAACAGAUCCAAUUAUUAUGGGUGGUUACCGAAGAAAUAUAGUCCAUUUAAAGAGAGACACUUGAUGUUGCUACAUGUCAACUGUUUUAAAAAGAUGUCUCGUGUAAUACUCUUUCUCACGUACUCCCUCCAUACUGAUAAUUCAAAUCAUUUUAGUCAGUCUCCACAGUAUAACUUUAAUUUCUUAUUUCUAUAAAAAUAUUUAUUAAAAAGUGAUGUAUGUAUAUAUUUAUAAAAGUAUUUUUAAAGACAAAUAUAUUCAUAUGAUUCUCAUAUUUUUAAACUCGACAACGUAAAAGUUUAUUUAUGAUUUAUAUUUUCAAUGUUUGACCCAAAUCUUGUCUAAACGACUUGAAUUAACAAUACUGAGAGAGUAUAAGUUUUUUAUGACGUGAUGAGAGAGAGAGAAAGGUGAGAGAAAGAGGUGAUGUCGUGAAGUAAACACCUCAUGAGCAAAAAUUUAGAACUAUAAGACAAUCAUUUCAUCAUUGUACUAUUUAAUGAUGCUAUGCAACUUAUAAAUUUUUCUUUGUUGACUACAAAAACUAAGGCAACUUAAAAUACAAUCUAUCUUAUGUGUCAAUUGUUCAAUGGCACCGUGACUGCGUGCCACUUGUGUAAGACCAUCUAUAAAAACACCUACAACGAUUAGAAAUCCUAAUUUUUUAAAACUAAGACCCUAUUUGGAUCAAGGAGAUAGUAAUUAGUUGUUAAUAAUUAUCUUCUUGGAUCCAAACAGAUCUAAUUAAAUAAUUUAGCUAAUUGUUAGCCGAGUACCCAACUAACAAUUAUCUUACUAGUUGGACCAAACUGGCUAAUAGCACAUACUAAUUAGUUGUUUUUUAGCAAAUCAGCUAAUAUUAGGUUACGAUGUAUUAGCUAGUUAACUAAUAAUAUCUAAUGUAUCCAAAUAGGCUCUAAACACCUGGUCUAGCUGUGUUUGAAUGAAAACGGUCCAGCGUAUAGUGCAGUGAGCAAAACCAAUUCUCACUCCUUUCCAAUAAAUAAAAAUAAUGUUUCUCUUUCUUUCCAGAGGAUGACACAAGAAAACAGUUUUUUUACUCUUUACAGUUUACACCCGUGCCCUUGGAGAACAAGCAAACUCCAGCACCUAUUGCUAGCGCUCGUUUGCUAACAAGCAUCACCCCAGCAACGUGUGACACCCAUCUCUAAUGUUUUAUCUCCCUCUUCGCUAGCAAUACCGAUGUACCUACCCUAAAAGAUAAGGUAUUAUGAUCAAUUUCUCUCUUUAAUCUUAUGAUAAUAUGCCUGAAAAAUCCUAGAAAUUUAAGUUUUUUUUGGAUGUGAAGAUUAAUAGUUUCAGUCAGUAUUGCGUCAAAAAAUAGUUUCAGGCGGUAGUAAUGACUAGACUUGUGCCCGCAAAAAAAAUGACUAGACUUGUUUGGAUCCAUCUUGUUAACACUUGCUUUUCUAGAAACUUUCACUCCACACUGGUCGUAGAGCAACGACUUGGAAAACAAAAUAGAUCCAACUUAAUAGUAAUUCAAUUAAAUCUAUGCUACUAUUGAUUGCGUUGAUUAUAGAAUAUAUUAUUAUGAUAAAUCUAAUUGAAGAUAUAAAUAUUGAUAUUUUUCAUAUAAACUCGAUUAAGAAACUUAGAAAAGUUUGAGUUAUGCAAAACUAAAAUUGCAUUGUUUUAGGACGGGGAGGGAGUACUCACUAGUCAGUUAGUCACUGCUGGGGUGCAGGAAACCAAACCAGGAUGCUGUAGUAAGGCCUUGUUUAGUUCCAAAAUUUUUUGCAAAAUCGACACUGUAGCACUUUCGUUUGUAUUUGAUAAAAAUUGUUCAAUCAUGGACUAACUAGGCUCAAAAGAUUCGUCUCGUCAAUUUCAACCAAACUGUGCAAUUAGUUUUUAUUUUCAUCUAUAUUUAAUACUGCAUGCAUGCGUCUAA
Molecule: long non-coding RNA, 53711 nt
Filed under: Sorghum bicolor (sorghum)
Lineage: Eukaryota; Viridiplantae; Streptophyta; Magnoliopsida; Poales; Poaceae
Description: long non-coding RNA (SBIC_LNC011314)
Source: RNAcentral